RNAcentral lists this long non-coding RNA (52483 nucleotides) under Hordeum vulgare. Its description in RNAcentral is "long non-coding RNA (HVUL_LNC012991)". Lineage: Eukaryota; Viridiplantae; Streptophyta; Magnoliopsida; Poales; Poaceae. The record is from RNAcentral.
UGAACCGUGGUAACGGCAUGCUUAUAUGACACGACUAUGUUGCGAUGCUCGACAGGCCGCAGCGGCGGUGUGCUUCCACAACAUGACCAUGCUGCGACGGAUGCUACGAUGGUGUCUCAGCUGACAGGAUACCAGCGAUGCUGCAAUGACGACGGCAUGCUAUGAGUUCGUGGUGCAACGGUAGUCAUGCUAUGACGAUCGGCGUGCUACGAGCAAUACCGAUUUGCUGCGUGUCGGUGUUGCGACAACGCCGAUGUGUGAAAAGUCGGUGCUACGAUGGGGAAGAACGAAACAAGACAGUGAGGAGUGGUCCCGUUGACUUGUCUGACCAACGGUAAGAUCAAGAUUAAUCGAAGUAUGAAGAAGACAGUUGAGUCCGCACCAAUACAUCCACGUGAUAUGUACCCAGCCAAGCAGAACAAGAACCAACGAUUUGCUUGUUCCAUCGUACGACUCGAAAGACGGCUUAAAACUCAUACAAAUCAUCCGUCUGACGCCUAGUGCGGGUCUUUUUUUUGACAAACCAACGAACAUUUUCCCCAUCGAGAUCGGGUCUCCUAUACACCGCUCCUUGCGGCCAACUGCCGAGCAAACACAUAGGGGUUGCCCGACUAGCCCGGCCCAGUUAUUUUUUGUAUUUUGUUUUUCUGCUCUUUUUCUGUUUAUUUCCUUUUUUGUUCAUUUUUUCUUUCUUUAUUCAUUUUCUUUUAGAAUUUGAAGCAAAAACAAAAUCCAGAACAUUUUUUGUUUCUGUUUUUAAAAAUGUUCUGAAUUAUCGACAAAUGCUCCAGUUUUUCAAAUUGUUCACAAGUUAAAAAAAUCUUUCUUGAAUUUGUUUCGCAAUUUCAAAAAUUCAGGAACAUUGUUUCAAAUUCCGGAAAACAUUUUUUCAAAUUCCAGAACAUUUUUUCAAAUCCUGGAAAAAAUUCAAAAUCCAAAAAAAAUUAAUUUUUUUUGGAAUAUUUCUUCAAAUUCUGGAAUAUUUUUCCAAAUACCGGAACUUUUUUCCAAAUCCAGAAGAUUUUUGUAACAGAAAUAGAAAAAAAGGAAACAGAAAAGAAUAAAGAAAAAGGAAACGAAUUUUUUCUGAAUAUUCAAAACAUUUUUUGAAAGAGAAACAGAAAAGAAAAAACUGAAAAAGCUGAAGCAGUUCAGUGAACCUUCUAGAAGUUUUCCAAAACCAAAAAAAUCCGGCUGAGAACCUCUAGAAGGUUCCCAAAACCGGGACUCUCUAAUGGGCCAGCCCAAUCUGAAGCCAUCCCUCUCUUCCAUGUGCAUUUGGUCGACAUUUCAACACACAAAGUAUCAAAUAGGAUUUUCCGUCGCGACCUCCCUCCCCGCUCUUCAUCAUCAAGCUACAGCCCAAAAUGCAACAACUAGUGAUUCUUAUUUGUGGCCUACAUCGUGUGUUUUUAGUGUUUCUGCAAACGAACGCUCACAGUACGUCUUUAACUCUUCCAAAUAAUCGAUGAACUUUUUUCAAAAUCAAUAUAUUAUUAAAAAAUCCAUGAACUUGGUUUCGAGUUUACAUUUUUCAGAUAAUUUAUAUUGGGUACAUGUUAAUGUUUUACUAAGCAAAAAGGUUAUCUAGCAUUGUUUUCUUGCACUAGAAAACAAAGUUACUUUGGUCUAGUGGUUAUUGCGGUGGGCUGGCAACAUUGCAAACCGGAGUUAGUAUGGAUUUUUCUUUGGAGGUCCUAUACAACCCAUUUAGCGUCGGUUAGGCAAACCGGGGUUGUAGCGUCCUUCUCGUGGGUCGGCCCAUGUAGAAUGUGUUGGUUCUUAAAAAUCAAAAAAGUUUAUAAAAAAAAUCAGAUUUGCAAAAAAGUUCAAUGAUUAUAAAAAAAGUUCACCAAUUUUUUAGUUAUGUUUAUGUUUUUUCAAAAAGUUCACAAAAUUCAAAAAAAAUCAUUGAUUUUCAAAAAAAGUUUAUGGAAUCUCCGAAACUAUAGGAUCUGAAAACUAAAUCUACAUCAUGGGAUAAGGUGGCUGGGAGGAGAAACCGGAAAUUAAAAAUGCAUGAGCGUACAACAGUGAAGAAGCUAUCGAUAAGUAGCGAUACUCGUGGGAUACGACCAUCUGCCAUAUUACACACGACCUCCUUUUCUCUAUAUAUUCUCUAUCUUCCAUGUAACAAAAAAAUCUUAUGUGACAUGUGUUAUAGACGACUGAGUUGAUGCUGUUGUACAUGCCCUUAGAGUGGCGGUUAGGAGCUCCCUCAGCUGCUAUUUGUAAAGAUUACAAUGGUAUAAUUCCCAGGAUUCUUCUGCAAUGGUGUUCAACAUUGUACAUGCUCCGGCAAACGCUUGAAGUACUUGCUUGUCGAGAAGAAUUAGCUCUAGCUCUUGAUAUUUUUGUGCAGAUCGGGUGGGAUUCGGUCGUGUCCAUUGGUCCUCCGUUUAAAAGGGAGCGGCACGAAGCUCUGCUAUCUGUUGCCAUCAGGAGCUAUGUUUUGCUUUAUGGUGAAGUCAGAUGUGGAGAAUGUCAUGGAAGCCGAUGUUGGAGGACUGGUAAUGGUGAUUGGAGCCUACAACGCUGAGGAAUUUGCUUGGAGUUUCGGGAUUCGUAGCGGUGGUAUGUAAGUGGGGCAACAACAUAUGUGAAUGUUCAAGAUCUUACCUUUCAGGAUGAAAAUCUAAGACUUGGCCUUAGUUGGUUGUGUAUCACAAUGGCCUUGUUGAAGGCAUUGUUUUGAGAGCGGACAUUAACUUCAGGGUGAAAACCAAGAUAUAUAAUCGGAUGACGACGACGCUUGUGCACUGUUUCCUUCUUUGAGGCAUCGCUUUUGGGGAACUUGGACUACGGGGGUUGUUUUUGUGGUGGUUGUACUGCUGCUGCAAGGACUGGAACUAUGUAGCAGGGCUUUUCUUUUUUUAGCUUCUUCUUUCUUUUUUGGUUGCGUCCAGCCGUAAUGCCAUUAGUGUAUUGCGUUGUUGCAGAGGUUGGGUGUAAUUGAUAUCUUCGAGAUAUUAAUAUAUUUCCUUUAUCAAAAAAAAAAAAUUCUGUGCGAAGAGUGAUUAUUGCAUGCGAUUGCAAAUCAGUAGUAUAAGAGAUAAAGAAUGGAACCAAAGGAAGGUAUAGCCCAUCAAAGAAGUCACAAAAAGAUCAUGAUAGUCCACUUUUGUAGAUUCACGUUUGAAGGACUCAUUUUAAACUUUUGAGGCUCAUAGUUUGGCAAAGUUUUCUUCUUCUUUAGUCGAGGGUCGUUAUGUCUGGUUAGGAAUGCCCCAUGGCCCGUUUAAUUAUCCGAGUAUCCGGUAAUCCUCCUUAAUAAAGUGUGAUUUACUGUUGAAACAAAAUCAAAUCAAAGUCAUUAAUUAAAGGGUUCCCUACAAAAAUCAAUCCCACCUUCUCUGGAUGCGACAAGUGGUGUAGUGUAUGUGGGCAACUUGUUGCUUCCGAAGAGUUUUCCCUUUUUAGGUAGAUUCGUUUAUCCAUACGGUUUAUCUUAAACCUUAUGUCCAAACUGCGAGCUUUUUUCAUCGUUGGAUUUCAUGCGUUGAAAUUUUUAAAACUAGAUCUCAUGUUAAUAGGUUUUGACGAAAUUUUUUUCAUGAAAAAACCAGAAGAAAAGAAAACAGACCGAAACCACGGUUAUUUCUCUCACAUUUUCUAUUUCCGAGAGUUAUAGUUGUCCUCUCACGAAAUAAAAUCCAUGUCCCCACGUGAAGCAAACUUGUACCUCUCAUGUAAGAGAACAAACAAUAUUUUUUUUGCUUUAUAUGAGGCAUAACUGUGCCUCUCACGAAAGAUUUUUUUUAUCUUUUUGAGAGGCACAAAGUAUGUGCAUCUUGCGGAAUAAAACAAUGUUUUUUUCUAUUUCCCAAAAGGUGCAGUGGAAGCAAACUGUUGUUCCGAUGAAAGAAAAUAACAUUUUUUCAUACAAUUUUUUUCUCCGUACUUUUUUGUCCAAAAUCUAGGAAAACUGGGCAAAAGCCAUAAGAAUCAUCUAAAAUCUGAAAAAGCAUACAGAAAAUAGAAUAAAAAUAAAACCCUUAAAAAGCGUCCAACACGCGACAAGUGGCAACCAAAAGCACAUCGAUUGACGCGGUCUCAGUCCACCCGAUUUUUUUGAACACAUGCAAAAUGCUCAUAUAUACACGUAUAACUAUAUACUCACCCCUAUGAACAUAGACACGCACGCCUUAUUUCUAUGAUCACCUCCGAGAGACUGAGCCGGCAUAUCAUCUUGAAAUUUACGAAGUCACCGUAGACACUUCAUCGUCGACGGAAACGUCUCCUCCCAAUAAAGUGUAUCGUUAGAAAUCCUAAAAUAAAUUCAGAAAUAAUGCAAGCACUAGGACUUCAAUCCUGAUGGGCUAGAGAUACCAUUGUCCUUCUAACCAUCCAACCGCAUGUUAAUUUGCUCAGCCACCCAAAAUGAGAGGAUCCCGCAAGGGGUAACCCUUAGUUAAUUACUCCUACGUCAAAGUAGCAUAUCAUAAAGUCAUAAAAAAAUCAAGGUAGCACCAUUCAAGACACAACAUCAAGCUACAAUUCAUUUUCUAGAACAGGUGCAAAAAAACAUUGUUCAAAAAUAAAAUUGCCGUCAUGUUUGAAAGAAAAAUGGCGUAACACAAGUAAAAUGCCAUCAUGUUCAAAAAAGAUGGAUCACAUGCAAAAACAAAUCCUUGGAAAAAAGAACCUUCCAUACCCUAAGAGCUAAGAAUACAAACGACAAGAAAAAUGGGGUAUGUUUAUACACAAAACUGCCACAUUUUAAAAUAAAAAUACAUUAUGCACACAUAAAACAUGAUGUUGAACCUAAAAAUGUCAUAUAAGAAGUCCAUGAUAUGCUAAAAUAUGUCGUUUUCUUACUAACGAAAUUUCCAUGCUCUUAAUAAAAAAUGGCAUGCUCUAUACAAAAAUGACAUGUUCUCUCUAACAAAAAAUUGUCAUCUAUAUAAAAAUAAAAGUGUCAUGCUCUUUAAAAUAAAAGUACCAUCUUGCAUAAAAACAUGACAUGCUCUACAAACAAACCCCAUGCACUUUAACAAAAUUGAAUGGUGCAAAAAAAAGGAAAAAGUCCAUUUUGAACCCUGAAUUUGUAGAGGUUCGACGAAAUGAAACUCCAACUCGAAAUCCCUGUCGAUUGCACCCUGAACUAUGUAAUCCUGGUCUAAAAAGAACCCUGGAUUCGUUUGACAAACUGGGAUUGCUGAUUUGACCAGUUAGGCCCAUCUCGGUAUCGUACAUCACAAAACAUUUACGGAAUUAAAAAAAUGAGAAUAAAAGUUCACGAAUUUUGAAGAAAUAACCACGGAUAUAAAAAAAGUUCAACGAUUUUAGAAACAAAUAAAUGGAUUUUCAAAAUUAAAAUUCAGGGAUUUUCAAAAACAUUGUGAAGUCCACAGGUUAUUUUAUAGUACGUAGGAAGCACCUUAAAAUGGUUUUUAACAUAUGAUUAACAUUUUUUUAGAAUACAUGUUAAAAAUAUUAAUACAUCAUAUACAAUUUUUUAAUUGUCCCCAACACUUUUUCGAAAUGUAUGAACAUUUUCCAAAUGCAACAAUUUUAAAAUUACACACAUGUAUAUUUUUAUAAUUUUGAUAUAUAUGUUAAAAUUACACACAUGUAUGUUUUUUAUAUUUUUGUUUUCUGGUUCUUUUCUUCCUUUUGUUUUUAUUUUUAUUUUUAUUUUCUGUUUCAAUUUAUAUUUUAUACUUUUUAUUUUUUUAUUUUUUAUUUCUUUUUUUGUUACUGUUUUAUUUUCACUUAUAUUAUAUAGAGUUCAUUGUGUGUCGUCAAAAUAUUUAUUGUAUAUCAUGUGUGCAUGUACGUGUAUGUGUGGAUUGUCAUGGUGUGUAUUAUACAUACCUGUAGGCUAUUCGGCGUUCAUCGCUGGACCGGAUUUGUCCCAACACGCUGUAAGAAAUAUUUGAAAAAAGAUUACUCAUUUUUUAAAAAGAUUAACAAAUUUAAAAAAAUGCUGACCAGGUAGAGCUUAAAGGUACAGUCUUAAUAUACUCACAACUACAAGAACAAAUGCAUGCAUCACUCCACAACUACAAGAAAAAAUGUUCGCGCAUCCAAAAAAUAUUUUCGAAUUUGAAAAAUGUUCCGAUUUUGAAAAAAAUCAUGUUUUCUAUUUUUGAGAGAUUUUAUAAAAUGGUUCACAUAUUAUAAGAAAUGUUCGUGUUUCAGGAAAAAAAUUAUUUGUUUGAAAAUGUGUUGGCCGUUUUGAAAUAUGUUCUAAAAAUAUUAAAUAUGUUUGUGAUUUUAAAACGGGCCGGCCUAAAAAAUAAAUCCCGGUUGACACGGUGCGAGGGUUUGAUUUAGACCGGGAUUGCAUAGUUCAGGGUGCAAUCGACCGGGAUUUCGAGUUGAGGGUUUAUUCCGUCCGACCAAUACAAAUUCAAGGUUGAAAUUGGACUUUUUCCGCAAAAAAAUGCCAUGCUUCAAAAAGUAAACUAUCAUUGCCUAACUAAAUAAAAUUGCCAUCGUAUGAAUAGUAAAAGGUACAAAGCCCAACGAAAAAAAACUCAUGGUGCAACUAAACAAAUUGCCAUGAUCUAAAUAAAAUAGGCUUGCCAUGGUACAUGACUUGAAAUGGCCAUUGUCUAAUUUUGGAAAAUUCCAUCCUCCAGCUAAAGAAUUGCCAUGGUACCCAAAUAUAAACUACCAAGUUCUGACUAGUAAAUAUACCAUAAUCUGAUGACUAAAAUUGCAUUGGAUUCCAUAAUAGAAAUGGCUUUGCUAAAAUACCUCUAAAUGUAAGAUAAGUAUUGCACAUGUAAGUCCUCUAUCAUUGAUCUUACAUGAAAUUCGUGUGGGUAUUUUUUUUCUUUUCUUUUCCUUUUCAUGCUUUAUUUAGUUAUUUAGAUGUGCAAUAACUAUGUCACAUCUAGAUGUGUUCUAGAUACAUCCUAAUAAAAAUGCACCUUUACGAACAAUUGUAGGAACAUGUCAAUUCUUAUGGGUGAAAACUGAAUAGUGUGACAACUUCAAUAUAAACACUCUUAGUAAAAUUCAGAACGAGGCAAUCUCUGGCAUUGUGUUGCCCAUGGCAAUUUCUACAUGAGAUGACCUAAUUCAAGUACACAAAAGAUUUAUGAAAAAAUGCCAUCUUAUUUUCAAACAAAAAAUCAAUGGCGAAAAAAAUCGGUAGACGCAUAUUUAAAACUUUGUGUCCAAAACCAUAUUAAAAAUGUUAUAAUAGUUGUACCAACAAUGCCAGGCUCCUUAUAAAUAAUAUGCCAUGUAUGUAAAUAAUGCCAUACCAAGUUCAAUAAAGAAAGUGCCAUACAUUGAAAAUGCCAUGUUGAAUACAAUAAAAUGCCAUACAAAAAUUGUGAAUUUUGCCAUGAUAUUUUAACAAAAAUAAUUCCAUGUCACUUUAGAAAUAAUUGCCAUGGUUAUAGACAUUUUUAAAAUGCCACCUCCUAAACAAUUCACAUGACUUCAUGGUUCAGUUUGUAAAAAGUUGCCAUGAUUUCAAUCUAAGAAUUGCAGAAAAUACUAUGUUAGACAAUAUUUUUUAGCAAACAUUGUUGAAUGUUUCACGGUGCAAAAUUAUGAUUCUGUAAAAAACCUAGAUGAAUUCGGUGCUCCGAAAUUUCUCGAAAAAAUAACAUCUUUAAAGUAUCGAUUUUCCCUUAGUGAUAGAAACAUUGCAUGCAUAUGGAACAUUAACCAGUGUUUUGUCACAAAAAAAAUCUUAUAUUUUUCUUUUUGUUUUAGAUUUUUUGUUUUGAAAAGCAUGCCUUAUAUUAAUUAAGCAAACAAAAGGUUAUUACAAUCAUUCAUUACGCCUUGCGUGGCGGGAUAGAGUUAACAAGCAACCCAUUAAACCUGCUACUAAAACUAAACUUAGCAAUCUCAUGUACCAUCUCGUUGGCAGGCCGACUUAUUUUUGAAAAACUUAAUUUUGGAACAUGUUAGUAAUACUCACUUAACAAGCAACACAUCAAACCUGCUACUAAACUUAGCAAUCUCGUGGUCGACUUAUUUUUGAAAAACAUGUUGACAAUACUCUGUCAAGCUUCUCAUUUGCAAGGAAGGAAUAAAUGAAGGCACACUCAUUUGCAAGGAACGAAUAAACGAAAGCACUGCCAAUUUGUUUUAGAUUUGAGUACAAUUGUUCAUCUGAGAGCAGUACUGUAAUUCAAAACGACAGAAAUGAACUCCAUAUAUUGCAGAAGAAUGCACCACUGUCAAGGCAAAAUUGCUUGUUUACUGCUACACAAAAAUAUAUGUUAUCGAGUGCAAGUAUAGUUAGUUCUUGUGGGGUAUUGCGAGUUGUAAGAGCAUCUCUAGCAGAACCCAUAUAAAGCCGACCCGGAAAACUCGUUUACAGUUCGCGGAAAAACAGUUUUGUGUGCCGGUACAGGCACGAACAAAGUCAGACCCCACAAAACGGACCCGUAAAAAAGGACAGAAGAUGCUCUUUUACGGAUCGGCUAUGGAGGGUCUGCUCGGGCAUCGCCGUGUCGACCCGCAAACCAAAAACCCUCCAAUAAGCGAAUUUGACAGUGAUUCCAACAAAUGAGUUCAAAUUCAAACAAUAAAACAUAGUUCGCUCACAAAAUGAAAGCAUAGUUUUUAAAGACAAACGCAAAAGGACUUCAUGCAUCCCGGUCGCUCUUCACUCCGCAUCAUCGAGGUCAUCGCUGCCCUCGAAUCCAUCGUCGACACUUGUUCCAACUCCGGUACCAAAAUCAUCGGUGAUAUUGGUUCGGAUUCCCGAUGAGAAAACAUCAAUGCCACUGUAACACGCAAGCAUCCUCCUCUUCAAGAUGUCUCGCCUUGUCAUAUCAUGUCAUUCUUUGUUGAUGUCGUUCAUGUCAUUGCGGUUCAAAGCAAUGAUCAUAUUCUAUUCGGUAAGAAGGUUGGACAUGAUUUUCUUCUCAGCGGCAUGUGCUCUUCUCUCGUGAAUGUCUUUGAGAAAUUUCCAUCUCUCUUGCUUCUCUCGUGCCUUCUUCUCGGCCAACUCUAUCUUUGUCCCCGAAGACUUCACUAGCAUCACCUCAUUUGAUUGCAUCAUGACAUCUAUUUUGUCCCGCAAGCUCGAUGCUUUAUGUCCCCUCUUGAUCUUCUCCUUUGUCUUUUUGUCAUCAUCGGGCUUGUUCAAGUUUCUUGGGCCAUCAUCAUCUUCAUCUUCAUUCAUGUUCGUAAGUGAACCUUUUUCGAUGGGGAUUCUUUGUCCAUUAACUUCCACUUCUCCCAGUCUUUGAUCAUUUUUCAACAAUGCUCUAGUUUAAAAAAAAUACCUUCAGAAGCUUCCAUGUCUUUAUAUCGUUGUUGGGCAUUUUUUUCUACACAAUUAAAGCAAAGUCAAAUGACGCAACCAUUUUUAUAUGAUGCAAAUGGUGUGCAGAACUUGGGACGUGAAAACGAACUCACAUAAUCGGAUUCCAUGGUUUCACUUGAAGGUGCAUUGCAAACUUGUUCCAAGCAAGCUGCCCAACGGUUACAAAUCGGUUUCAUCACAUCCCAACGACCUUGGAGUGACCGAAAGGUCCAUGUUGUCCUAUUGGGAUACUUGGUCAUGAAUUGGAAGUAUUGAUCUUCGAUUCCUUGUCAAUACCUCUUGACAGUUUGAGACACACUCGUGCAAGCAUCCAUAGACACCGUACUUUAAGCCUUGAUCAAGAUUUGAUCUUCCAAAAUCGUGUAGUUCUUCGAUCUCACCCUUUUUUUUUUGCUUGCACUUGCUGAUACGCCCCUCAUCUACCUUCUCCACUUCAUCUUCACCAUCGUGGUCAUCCACGCCACCCUCCAAUUCAUUAUAAUCGAAACCAGCGAUUGGGGCUUGAUCGAUGUCGACGGCGUUGGUCUUUAACAAGUUCACGAACUCGACAGCGACAUUGUUCAAACCACCGCUAUAUUGAGUGACAGCAAGUCAUGACAUACCACAAUAGCAAAAAAGCAAAGUAAGAACAAGGGAGGAAAGAUGCAUACCUUCCAGCCAUUUCAUCGAACACCUCGCUUGCGGUGGAAGCAACACUGUUCGAAGACAUCGUCGGGGAACAUCUUGCCGGGGCGGAGCGAGUGGACGAAGAACAUCUUGCCGGGGCGGAGCGAGUGGACGAAGGCGCCGAUCUUUUAUAGGAACCUUCUUUCGUUUCAUGUUCGAAACCUUAAUCAUCUUCUCCGCCAACGGUCGGUCAGAUCGUGCAGCAACAACGACGCCCGACGCGCGUGCCUUUCCAGCAGGAUUGCCGCCCUGCACGACAAUGAUGUCCUACUGCUUCUAGGCAGGCACGUUGAUGCCUUUGGCGACGGCGGGGCAACGUUGCCCUGCCGCUUGUGGGCAGGCACGUUAGUGCCUUGGGCGACGACGGGGGCGACAUGGCCGGCUACGAGAUUCGUCGGAGGGGAUUGCGCAUGCACGACCUCCACGUUGAUGUUGGGACGGCUCCACGUUGAUGUUGGGACGGCUGGAGGGUUAAAUGACGAUGAAAAUGGUGGGGAAGAUGUUGGGACGACUGGAGGCUUAAAUGACGACGAAAAUGGUGGGGAAGAUGGUCCGGGACGCGUGAUGACGGUACAAUGGCUGCCGAGGAGGGGGAGCGACUGCGUGGAAAUUUUCUUCGCGCCACAAAUUUCGUUGUGAAUAAGGAUAGAGCUUGAAAUCUCGUUGCGGAUAGGGGACAAGGUCAAUUUCGUUGCGAAUAAAGGUAGGUCAAUUUCGUUGCGAAUAAGGGUAGAGCUUAGGUCAAUUUCGUUGCGAAUAAGGGUAGAGCUUGAAAUCUCGUUGCGGAUAGGGGACAAGGUCAUAGCUGGUAAAUCUUCUAGAGGUUAGACGAACUUUUAUCGGGCAUUAUACGGGUCUGCUAGAGAUGCUCUAAUAGCAAAAUCUAAUGGUUAAGAUCGCAUUAUAGCAGAACUGAAGGUGGCCCAAUUUCAGAUGGAUGGGACUUGAGGCAAGAGAACAGUAAGAGCAAGUACAAUAAAGCUGAGUCAGCUGGCUAUAAGGAAUAAAGUAGUAUAUUUUUGCUUAGUUGGAGGAGAGAGAAGAGGAGAGAAAAGGUAAACGGGCUCUUAGCUAAGAGCCAGCUACACGUGCUCCUAAGCACUUUGUGAGAAUGAAAAGUGGAUCAUAUAAUAAAUAAGUAGUACUCUUCUAACCAACUAUUGUACAUGAUAGCUAUAAGAUGGACUAUAUGUGACAUGGAGUGGAUCAUAUAAUAAAUAAGUAGUACUCUUCUAACCAACUAUUGUACAUGAUAGCUAUAAGAUGGGCUAUAUGUGACAUGGCAUGAGCUUACAGUCGGCUCUACUAUUGUAGUUGCUCUAAGAACAAAGGAGGGAUUUAGAAAUGAGAGCGGUAGCACCGAAGCAGCAUAACAGGAAUCGACGAUCAGAGUCUCGAAAUGAGUAGUCCCUUGCAUCUGAAGACGAAGCAGCGCAAGUAGACGCUAGAAGGAACAAGUAGUACAGGCGUUUUCCAUUUUUAUUUUUAAUUUACGUAGUAGAUAAGAUAUGCAACAACUUAUUAUUCGUCGGUGGUACUAGCACCGCCCGCAGGCACGUCCGUACAUAGAGAGGCGUGGAUCCACACUGGUAACCACAUAGGAGGGCAAAUGACCAAAACAUGCCUACGGAGCUCGGGCCUGGUCGAGGCGAUGCUGCGCCCAGUUCUUCACGUCGUGCGCCUUGGAGUCCAGCUUCGCGCCCGCGUGGUCCACCGUGUCAGCCCCCAUCGGCGAGGGCGACCCGUGCGACAGGUACUUGUACAUCCACGCCAGCACCGCCACCGCCGCCGCGCCGAACGCCCCCGACGACACGAACCCAGCCGUCAGCAUCGUCACCGCUAUGGCCGCGGGCACCAGCACGGGGCUGAAGAUCACCAGCAGAGGCGUCGCCACGAUGAGCGCCAGCACCGUGCCCGUCAGCGUCAGGGCCGACAGGAACAGCAUCGACCCGGCGGCCGCCGCCGCGGCCACCCCCUUCGCGAGGGUGACGGCCGCCGGCUGGUUGUGGCCCUGGCCGUGCCCGCCGUAGUAGUCGUCGUCGCCGCGGAUGGCCCGCAUGUAGUCCGGCCCGACGGCGCUGCCGCCUCCGUACACGCCUCCCCGGUGGAACGCUUGCUCUCCAGCCAUGCCGGUAGCCAGAUGCACACUUUAAAAGCUUCGCUACUCCGAAACCUGAGCCUUACCUGAGAAAUGCGAUAACCAAAUGCGCCGUGGGUUUCUCGGCGAGAUGGAUUGUGGUAUAUAAGAUGUGAUGUGAGUGAGAGUGUAGGGCGGCGGUGGAGCGAGUCUCGAACAUGUGGACGCACAGCAGGGUACGUGGUGAUCUGCAUGGAUAGCGAUGCCUCAAGCCUUGCCACGUACGUGCCAACUUGCAGGCUCCCGGCGCACUCUCGUCUUACGUGUUGCGAAUGCAGUACCCUUCCCCGCCGCUGAGCUCGACGAGCAGCCUGCAGGACAUGGUUCCAACAUGACGUCUUUCAUCGACGGCGUGGGCGUUGCCUUGCUGGCCCGCGCGUCUGGAGUUAAGCUGGACGCCGCUUUACACAUUUUCACCUAGAGACACUUCGCCUCUAGACAAUUCUCGAACCUCAAAGUCUGUUUUAACAGGUUUUCACCUAGGUUAGGCAGUUUGGACAUUCAUCUUGUUAGAAUAAUCCGAGGCACUUCGUCGAUCAUCCGAAGAUCAAGCAAACACACAAGUACUACACCGAGAUUUGUUAACGAGGUUCAUCGAUAUGACUACAUUUCCGGAACAUGACUACGGUCGCUCCUCCCUCUGACACCGUCAUAAUACCACAUCCUGGCCGUCCUGGGCGCCGGCAUACGUCGCCGACUCCCCCUGCACACCUGUGUUAUUAUGUUGGCAUAGGUUACAUCGUGUGUCUAGACCCGCUAUAUAUGAGAGGCCUAGGAUACAAGUGUCCUGCUUGGACACGACUCCAUAUCCUAUCUAAACAUAAUACAACUACAAGUCCAACUGUAACCUACCUUGUACAAUAAUAUUCGACACAACUCUAACAAACUCCACCCUGGCGAAUAUUCUCCACCACCUUGAAUUCGUUCAUGCGUCAAUCUUCCAUGUACAUUGGACUUGAGCGUAUCCCAUGAGCACCGCUGCUACUCCAAAGAGUCGAUGUGACUUCACCUGCAACUUGUAGUUCCUUCUUUUCCUGACCAUAGUCAACGCUCGAACGAAAUUAAGCUCCACAUUACUCUAGUUGCGCUCCCAACUUCCAGAGUAUCCAACAUCAUCACAUACCGAUCACUAACCUACGUGAAAGUGAACAACUCAUAUUGGGUGUCGCUCACACAAGAGUUACCUGAACUCAACAUCACUGCUUUUCCUUGACCGCCUGUCUGAAACUUGAAAGAAUUUCGCCAUUGCUUGUAGUCAUCUCGAGUCAAAUUCGCAGUUUGUUUCACCACAUGUAUGACCACCAGAGCCCUAGCCCGUCUCCAUGUCCCGUGUGUACCGUACGCCUCGCCGCUAUUACCAAGUCGAGCCUCCGCUGUCCCGGUCGAGUCUCAAGAGUCGCGAACCCACACCACUCAACCCCCGCUGCAGAGUACCACCGAUCCUCACCGACCGAUGACGAGUAUCACGUUUCCAUCAGACCAGCGAGCUCUAGUCCGAACCACGUGCCACUCGCUUUUCCCCGAGUGAAGUCCUUCAGACUCCAGCUCCACCUUCAACAUGACUCCAUGGUAGAUAAUCAGUCCAUCCCUUGCGCCCCGUCGACUUCAAGCUCACAUGUGCACCCUCUUGAAUCAACCCCGCGCCAUAGUCUUGUCGAAGCCACACAAGCCCUAGAGCAUGCGCCGCGUGUUUCCACGCCCAGAAGUCGGUCACCAUCAGCAUCACGCUCCUAUGUUGUCGUCGCCGAUCCUACCACCGUCUUCUAUACCAACCGACUCGCGUCGACCCGUCAGACUGUCCAGUCCGACCCAGCCGAAAUCGUCCGACUGUCGUGAAUUUCCAUCUAUCACAUGAUAAUUCCAUCUAAGCUGGCUUAACUUCCCGCAACGCCUUCAAGCAUUCCUGUUGCGCCAACAAUCUUUCAUCCAUGUCUGCCAUAACUCAAGGUUUUCAGUUCCAUCGAACUUCUUCACCUCAAACCUGAUGCCUGAUGACGUCAUGAUUCUUUAAACGGGUGACCUUGCGAAAGACGACAUUGGCCUCAACUCGGAUACUAGCAAUUACCUUGUCAACGCCUCCUGCUAAUUCCAAUGGAUACCAACGUGAUGGAUUGUUCUUUCCCAGUACGAUCAGCUACCGCCUCUUUCCAUGUCGUAUACGAGGACACGAUCCUCUCUUUUUCCCCAAACAAAUCUCUGCAGUUUGCACUCUAGACCUUUCACGCAGAGCCUGUCGAGCUCCUUUCGUGCCUGGUCCACUAGCUCAACACAUGCACGCACUAGCUAGCUCCGAAUACACUUCGACCUCAACCGACUGGCCUGCCACGCGUGCCUCCGGAUCGCACACUUGCCAUCGACACGGCAUGCCGCCACACACGCCUGAUCAACUGAUCCGCCGAUCGAUCCGAUCCGCCGAUCGAUUGCCGCACGUCCCUUGCAACGCUGCUUUCCAAUCCCGUCGAGAACUCUGCCAGCUUCUAAUUGCUUCAUGAUGAUUACAACACGACCAAUACAUCUGCUUUGCAUCAAAACUCGCUGUAUUACGAUUGCUUCCUGCAGACUUUCAUCGUGUUUUGUUCCCUCCUCUAGAUCAACCUUUUGCAACCUCUCGUCAACCUAGCUCAUGAUACCACUUGUUAGAAUAAUCCGAGGCACUUCGUCGAUCAUCCGAGGACCAAGAAAACACACGAGCACGAUACCGAGAUUUGUUAACGAGGUUCACCGAUAUGGCUACAUCCCCGGGGCAUGACUACGGGCGCUCCUCUCCGUGACACCAUCACAAUACCACACCCUGGCCGCCGGCACACGCCACCGGCUCCCCCUGCACACCUGUGCUAUUAUGUUGGCAUAGGUUACAUCGAGUGUCUAGACCCGCUAUAUAUGAGAGGCCUAGGAUACAAGUGCCCUGCUUGAGCAUGACUCCAUAUCCUAUCUAAACACAGUACAACUACAAGUCCAACUUUAACAUACCUUGUACAAUAAUAUUCGAGACAGCUCUAACACGUCUAGCCACGUCGGACAUCCGGACAUGCGUAUGCAUAGAUGGAUAUUUAGAGGAUAUUGUUGGAUGAUGUGCUCCUGCUUCAAUGUGUCCGCUUUAUGGGUUAGCGUUGGAGAAGCCCUAAGGUCGCAAGUUAUGUAGACAUGUAUUUUGUCGAAGACAACUUUUCGUCCUAGGCUCAUUUGGCCCAGAUAUCUUAGAGAUUGGAUUAAAAACAAGGCAGUGACGCGACAUGGUCUAAUGGUGGGAGAAGGACUGGGAUUUCCUCACAAUUCAGGUGACUUAGAGUUACUAAAGUCUUGAGUCGCAAAUCCACUGACUCACAUGUGAGUGAAACUUAAUCGUCCGAGUUAGUCAUUUGAACCAAAAAGAGGAUACAUGACUUGCAUACCAUGGCAUGAUGCAUGGCACGUUGUCGGUAUUAAAACCGGCAGAUCUCGAGUAGGGGCUCCGAACUAUUGAUCUUGGAUCGACGGGUUACAAGAGACAAGGGAGACAAUGUUUACCCAGGUUCGGGCCCUCUUGAUGGAUGUAAAACCCUGCGUCCUCCUCUUGUUAUAUUGAUGGGGUUGCACAAAGUACAUAGUUGAUCUACUUCGAGAUCAGAUGUUGUGGUCUACACCCAAACAUUAAUGAGCUUAAUCUUUCCUACGAACUAUGGCCCUCUGAUAUAUACAUACCAGGGGCGUUAAGGUUACACAAUGUUGAUUAAAUCAUGAAAGGAAUAUACCAAUCACUAUGUGUCCUUGGAUUAGACGCCAAGUCUUGGGAAGAGUCCAUCUUGAAUUCAGCAUCACUUAAUGAUGGUAGAACGGUCCAGGAGUCUGACCCAUGGAAAUGAGCAAGCGGCCCGAGGACCCUUUAGUCCCGGACUCCCUCAGUAGACCCCAAACUGGCCCUCCAAUGCCGUAGUCUUGACCUUCAUCUACUUUAUGCUCCCAAAGACUUUGGCUUACGAGGCGAGUUCCUCUCUUCUUACAUUUAGCCGACAAUAGUUCGGUUGCUGAUGACGUACCCUCUUCCACACACACACACACACACACACACACACACGAACACACACACACACACACACAGAUAUAUAUAUAUAUAUAUAUAUAUAUAUAUAUAUAUAUAUAUAAGGCCGAUCGUUCGACCAAUAAUAGUGUUUUUUGCCUCACACCCUUUCUAACGAAAGGUCCCGGCUGGUCAAGGUCUAUGACCUUUAUGGUAGCGUGGUUCGAGACCGUCUUUACUGACACGUUCCAUUAUGGAGAUCAUGUUCCUCUUUUUCAGGGAUAUGGUUUAUGAUUUGGAUUAUCCCACACCCGCAUAACCGCACAAUUUUAUCGGGAAAUGACGAAGUUCACUACGUAGUAGUGGGACUCUUGUUAUCUCAGUUGUUCAUAAAAGGUAAAACCGUCACCAUAGCCUCCUAAUACAUUCCAGAUCUCGCAUAGUUGUUGCCUUUCCCAGCCUCCAAACCUCCAGUGCCCAAGUUCUCUUAUUCGCUCCACUUCCUCGAACCCUAAUUCCAAUCCGGCCAUGGCCAGCUCGGGCUCGAAAGGCAAGUGGAAGGGCUCAUGCGUCACCGAGAAGGAUAUCCACGAACUAAAGAGCUCCAUUUUUCUACCGGAGAACAUAGCCCACCGUGCCCCGAAAAAGGACAAGUCAUCCCCACACCAAAAGACGGGGACAGGGUGGUUUUCGUUCCUCAUUUUUGUCGGGGUCUUGUUUUUUCCCUUCACCCCUUUGUUCAGGGUAUUAUGUAAUAUUAUGGGGUAGACUUCCAUGAUCUUCCGCCAAAUUCCAUUAUGCACAUCUCAGCCUUCAUCGUAGUUUGUGAAGCAUUCCUGCAAUUUCAUCCCCACUUUGGCAUAUGGCCGAAGGUCCUCAACAUCAAGCCCAAAGUCGUUAAUGGCGAAUAGGCUGACUGCACGGGAGCAACAGUUAGCAAACUCGCUCGGAUCCAAUGUGUGGAAGGCACAUUCAUAGACACCAUCAAGGUGUGAUAGAAAGAGUGGUUCUAUAUCAUGGAGCCACGCAACACGGAAGGAGUAGCUUCGCCGGCAUUCAGAUUUGGUCCUCCCAUCGAACUUGUGUCCUGGACAGAGAAAGCCCUAGAUUGGGGGGGGGGGAGGCNNNNNNNNNNNNNNNNNNNNNNNNNNNNNNNNNNNNNNNNNNNNNNNNNNNNNNNNNNNNNNNNNNNNNNNNNNNNNNNNNNNNNNNNNNNNNNNNNNNNNNNNNNNNNNNNNCAAAGAAAAUCUCCGCUAUAAUGGAGAAGAAAAUCGAGCUCACCAACGUGGUCCACGUAAUGCUACACCGCCACCUUCUCCCUUGCCAACAUCGGGCCAUCCCGAUGUGGGCUUAUAAUCCGGACGACCCGACCACUGUGCGGAACUUUUUCCUCAUUACUCACGAGAAGUUGUGGAAAUUGUUGUUCAAGCCACAGUAGACUCGGCCAACUGAAGAAGAGGACGUUGGCAUUUCCGUCCUUAAUCCUACCGGAUCGGUAAGGUUUUUAUCAUAUUAUUAAUUUUCAUCCCUUCCUCUUAGUAAAGUGCUCACUUCUUCCUUCCUCCAUUCUCGCAGAUGUGGCUAAAAAAGUCCCAGCAGGUCACUGAUGACCCACAAGUGUAGGGGAUCUAUCGUAGUCCUUUCGAUAAGUAAGAGUGUCGAAUCCAACGAGGAGCAGAACGAAAGGACAAGUGGUUUUCAGCAAGGUAUUCUCUGCAGGCACUGAAAUUAUCGGUAACAAAUAGUUGUGUGAUAAUAUAAUUCGUAACGGGUAGCAAGUAACAAUAGUAACAAAGGUGCAACCAGAUGGCCCAAUCCCUUUUGUAGCAAGGGCAAGCCUGGACGAACUCUUAUAUAAGGUAAAGCGCUCCCGAGGACACAUGGGAAUUUCUGUCAAGCUAGUUUUCAUCAUGUUCAUAUGAUUUGCGUUCACUACUUUGAUAGUUUGAUAUGUGGGUGGCCCGGUGCUUGGGUGUUGUCCUUACUUGGACAAACAUCCCACUUAUGAUUAACCCCUCUCGCAAGCAUACGCAACUACGAAAGAAGAAUUAAGACAAAGUCUAACCAUAGCAUUAAACUGGGGGAUCCAAANNNNNNNNNNGCCCCUUGCGGAGGAACGCAUAAACUAGGGUUAAGCUUCUGUCACUCUAGCAACCAAUCAUCUACUUAUUACUUCCAAUGCCUUCCUCUAGGCCCAAAUAAUGGUGAAGUGUCAUAUAUUCGACGUUCACAUAACACCACUAGAGGAAAGACAACAUACAACACAUCAAAAUAUCGAACGAAUACCAAAUUUACAUGACUACUUAUAGUAAGACUUAUCCCAUGUCCUUAGGAACAAACGUAACUACUCACAAAGCAUAAUUAUGUUCAUGAUCAGAGAGGUAUUGAAUAGCAUUAAGGAUCUGAACAUAUGAUCUUCCACCGAGUAAACCAACUAGCAUCACCUACAAGGAGUAAUUAACACUACUAGCAACCUUACAAGUACCAAUCGGAGUCGCGAGACGAAGAUUGGGUACAAGAGAUGAACUAGGGUUUUGAGAUGAGAUGGUGCUGAUGAAGAUGUUGAUGGAGAUGAGUCCCCUCUGAUGAGAGGAGUGUUGGUGAUGACGAUGGCGAUGAUUUCCCCCUCCGAUAGGGAAGUUUCCCCGGUAGGACGGCCCUGCCAGAGCUCUAGAUUGGUUCUGGUCAAGUUCUGCCUCGCGGCGGCGGCGUUUCUUCCUGAAAGCUCUCUCUUGAUUUUUUUUCUGGGACAAAACCCUCUAUAUAGCAGAAGAUGGGAGUCGGAGGGGUAACAGGGGGCCCACGAGCGCCGAGGCGCGCCCAGGGGGGUGGGGCGCGCCUGGCAGGCUCGUGACCUCCUCGUGGCUCCACUCCAGUAUUUCUUCCGCCCAAUAUUUUUUAUAUAUUCCAAAAUAAUUCCUCACUGAUUUUCAUGGCUUUUGGAGUUGUGCAGAAUAGGUAUCUCAAACUUGCUCCUUUUUCAGCCCAGAAUUCCAGCUGCCGGCAUUCUCCCUCUUCAUGUAAACCUUAUAAAAUAAGAGAGAAAAGGCAUAAGUAUUGUACCAUAAUGUGUAAUAAUAGCCUAUAAUGCGAUAAAUAUCAAUAUAAAAGCAUGAUGCAAAAUGGACGUAUUAGUCACCUGCCCGGUGCCCUUACCUGAGGACCCCAUGAUGCCUUUAUUGGCAGCCAUGCUAGUCAGGAAGCCAUACACGGCUCCGAAGGAGAAGGACGAGAGGAACAAAGGGAAUAAAAAGGCCUAAGAGGGUCGUCGGUAAAAGGAUCCUUGGACACUAGGUCGUACGAUACGUUGGCUCCCUCUAAUCUUGUAACGCCCAAGAUGCGGUCCUAUCCUUAUUUCGAUGUGAGGGCUUCGAGAUGGAUAGAAACGCAUCUCGUCGUUUCGCAAGAAUGGAUAUCGUUACAACUACAUUCACUGAAAAGAUGAGUAUAAGGAGUUGGCUUAUACUCGCCAUAAGCUACAUGAAGUUCACAUCAGUACAACAACAUAAUCAGUCAUCAUGAAGGAUAAAAGAACGAUGUCCAUUCUUGCUAUCCCAGGCUGCCGCCCUGGAACCCAUCCUAGAUUGAAGAAGAAGAAGAAUUCCAAAUAGCACAACCAUCACGCUCAUGUCAUAAUAUCACUUUACGUGUACCUGCAACUGGUGUUGUAAUAAACUGUGAGCCACAAGGACUCAACAAUCUCAUUUCCAAAGGUAUCAAGACUAGCAAAGCUUAAUGGGUGAGUGCUACUUCUCAAACAACAACGCUAGAAAUUGACACGUUGACGGAGAUUGGGCUUGCAUUGGUUCUUCCCUUGAAGAGGAAAGGGUGAUGCAGCACAGGAGCAAUAAGUAUUUCCCUCAAUUUGAGAACCAAGGUACCGAUCCAGAAGGAGGGUCUCGUCAAGUCCAGAGUACAUGCGCAAACACAAACAAGCUUGCACCCAACGCUUCAAAGGGGUUGUCAAUCCCUUCAAGAUUGUUUGCAAAGUGAGAUCUGAAGGAGGAAACUGCAACGAAGUAAAAAGUUUAAGGCUGAAAAUAUGGUAUGGAGUAGACCCUGGGGGCCAUAGUGUUCACUAGAGGCUUCUCUCAAAAUAGCAAGUAAUACGGUGGGUGAACAAAUUACUGUCGAGCAAUUGAUAGAACCGCGCAAAGUCAUGNNNNNNNNNNUAGCAUAUAGGCAUCACGUCCGAGACAAGUAGACCGAUACUUUCUGCAUCUACUACUAUUACUCCACACAUCAACCGCUAUCCAGCAUGCAUCUAGUGUAUUGAGUUCAUGACGAACAGAGUAACGCUUUAAGCAAGAUGACAUUAUGUAGAGGGAUAAUCUCAAACCAAUGAUGAAAACCCCAUCUUUUUACCCUUGAUGGCAACAACACGAUACGUGCCUUGCUACCCCUUCUGUCACUAGGUGAGGUCACCACACGGUAUGAACCCAAAACCAAGCACUUCUCCCAUUGCAAGAAUCAUAGAUCUAGUUGGCCAGACAAAACCCACAACUCGAAGAGAAUUACAAGGAUAUGAAAUCAUGCAUAAGAGAGAUCAGAAGAAACUCAAAUAAGAUUCAUAGAUAAUCUGAUCAUAAAUCCACAAUUCANNNNNNNNNNNNNNNNNNNNNNNNNNNNNNNNNNNNNNNNNNNNNNNNNNNNNNNNNNNNNNNNNNNNNNNNNNNNNNNNNNNNNNNNNNNNNNNNNNNNAUGCUAGUUGGUUUACUCGGUGGAAGAUCAUAUGUUCAGAUCCUUAAUUCUAUUCAAUAACUCUCUGAUCAUGAACAUAAUUAUUCUUUGUGAGUAGUUACGUUUGUUCGUGAGGACAUGGGAUAAGUCUUACUAUAAGUAGUCAUGUGAAUUUGGUAUUCGUUCGAUAUUUUGAUGUGUUGUAUGUUGUCUUUCCUCUAGUGGUGUUAUGUGAACGUGGACUACAUGACACUUCACCAUUAUUUGGGCCUAUAGGAAGGCAUUGGGAAGUAAUAAGUAGAUGAUGGGUUGCUAGACUGAUAGUAGCUUAAACCCUAGUUUAUGCAUUCCUUCGCAAGGGGUUGAUUUGGAUCCCCCAGUUUAAUGCUAUGGUUAGACUUUGUCUUAAUUCUUAUUUUGUAGUUGCGGAUGCUUGCGAGAGGGGUUAAUCAUAAGUGGGAUGUUUGUCCGAGUAAGGACAACACCCAAGCACCGGUCCACCCACAUAUCAAACUAUCAAAGUAGCGAACGUGAAUCAUAUGAACAUGAUGAAAACUAGCUUGACAGAAAUUCCCAUGUGUCCUCGGGAGCGCUUUACCUUAUAUAAGAGUUCGUCUAGGCUUGUCCCUUGCUACAAAAGGGAUUGGUCCAUCUUGCUGCACCUUUGUUACUAUUGUUACUUGCUACCCGUUAUGAAUUAUCUUAUCACACAACUAUCUGUUACCGAUAAUUUCAGUGCCUGCAGAGAAUACCUUGUUGAAAACCACUUGUCAUUUCCUUCUUCUCCUCGUUGGGUUCGACACUCUUACUUAUCGAAAGGACUACGAUAGAUCCCCUACACUUGUGGGUCAUCAAGACUCUUUUCUGGCGCCGUUUCCGGGGAGUGAAGCGCCUUUGGUGAGUGGAAUUUGGUAAGGAAACAUUUAUAUAGUGUGCUGAAAUUUAUUGUCACUUGUCACUAUGGAAACUAAUCCUUUUAGGGGCUUGUUCGGGGUAUCUUCACCUCGACCGGAAGCACAAAGAAUUGAUCCUCAACCUACUGCACCUACUGAAAAUAUUUAUUAUGAAAUUCCUUCGGGUAUGCUAGAGAAACUGUUGGCUAAUCCUUUUACAGGAGAUGGAACAUCACAUCCCGACUUGCAUCUAAUCUAUGUAGAUGAAGUUUGUGGUUUAUUUAAGUUUGCAGGUUUGCCCGAGGAUGAGGUCAAGAAGAAGGUCUUUCCCUUAUCUUUGAUGGAUAAAGCAUUGACAUGGUAUAAGCUACGUGAUGAUACUGGAUCAUGGAACUAUAACCGAUUGAAAUUGGAAUUUCAUCAAAAGCUUUAUCCUAUGCAUUUGGUACAUCGUGAUCGGAAUUAUAUAUAUAAUUUUUGGCCUCGUGAUAGAGAUAGUAUCGCUCAAGCUUGGGGGAGUCUUAAAUCAAUGUUAUAUUCAUGCCCCAACCAUGAGCUCCCUAGAGAAAUUAUUAUUAUGAACUUUUAUGCUCGGCUUUCUCAUGACAAUCGCACCAUGCUUGACACUUCUUGUACCGGUUCUUUUAUGAAGAGAGAUAUUGAUUUUAAAUGGGAUUUAUUCGAAAGAAUUAAACGAAACUCUGAAGAUUGGGAGUUUGAUGGAGGUAAGGAGUCAGGUAUGAAUCUUAAGUUCGAUUGCGUUAAAUCCUUCGUUGAAACAAAUACAUUUCGUGAUUUUAGCGCUAAACAUGGACUUGACUCUGAGAUAGUAGCUUCUUUAUGUGAAUCAUUUGCUGCUCAUAUACAUCUCCCUAAGGAGAAGUGGUUUAAAUACCAUCCUCCCGUAGAAGUUAAUGUAGUAAAACCCAAUCCAGUUGAAGAGAAAGUUAUUGCUUAUAAUGAUUCUAUUGUUCCUAGUGCUUACAUUGAGAAACCACCUUUCCCUGUUAGAAUAAAGGAUCACGCUAAAGCUUCAACUGUGAUACGUAAGGGAUACAUUAGAACACCCACACACCCUGAGCAAACUAAAGUUGAACCUAGUAUUGCUAUUAUUAAAGAUCUCUUGGCCAAUAAUGUUGAUGGGCAUGUUAUUCAAUUCUGUGAAGCUGCUGCUAGAAUUGCUAAACCUCAUGCUAGAGACAAACAUAAACCUGUUGUUGGCAUGCGUGUUGUUUCUAUUAUGAUAGGAGAUCAUUGUUAUCAUGGUUUAUGUGACAUGGGUGCUAGUGUUAGUGCAAUACCAUAAUCUUUAUAUAAUGAAAUUAAAGAUGAGAUUGCACCUGUUGAGAUGGAAUUUAUUGAUGUUACUAUUAAACUUGCUAAUAGAGAUACUAUCUGCCCUAUGGGAAUUGUUAGAGAUGUUGAAGUCUUGUGUGGUAAAACUAAGUAUCCUACUGAUUUUCUCGUUCUUGCUACCACACAAGAUAGCUUUUGUCCCAUCAUAUUUGGUAGACCUUUUCUUAAUACUGUUAAUGCUCAAAUUGAUUGUGAGAAACAAAUUGUUACUGUUGGCUUUGAAGUUGUGUCACAUGAAUUUAAUUUUUCUAAGUUUGGUAGACAAGCUCAUGAAAAAGAAUUGUCUAGUAAGGAUGAAAUUAUUGCUCUUGCUUCUAUUGUUGUGCCUCCUACUGACCCUUUGGAGCAAUACCGGCUUGAACAUGAAAAUGAUAUGCAUAUGGAUGAAAGGAAUGAGAUAAAUAGAGUUAUCUUUGAACAACGUCCUAUCCUUAAGAAUAAUUUGCCUGUUGAAUUACUUGGAGAUCCACCUCCACCAAAGGGUGAUCCUGUGUUUGAGCUUAGACAAUUACGUGAUACUCUUAAGUAUGCUUAUCUUGACGAAAAAGAGAUAUAUCAUGUUAUUAUUAGUGAUAACCUUUUAGAGCAUGAAGAAAAGAAAUUACUGAAAACUCUGAGGAAGCACCGUGCUGCUAUUGGAUAUACUCUUUAUGAUCUUAAGGGCAUUAGUCCCACUCUAUGCCAGCAUAAAAUUAAAACUGAUCCUGAUUCCAAACCAGUUGUCGAUCAUCAAUGAAGAUUAAAUCUAAGAUGAAAGAGGUGCUAAGAAAAGAAAUACUAAAGCUCCUGGAAGUAGGUAUUAUUUAUCCUGUUGCUCAUAGUGAUUGGGUAAGUUUGGUGCAUUGUGUCCCUAAGAAGGGAGGUAUUACCGUUGUCCCUAAUGAUAAAGAUGAAUUGAUCCCACAAAGAAUUGUUACUGGCUAUGGUAAUUGAUUUUAGGAAAUUAAAUAAAGCUACUAAGAAAGAUCAUUACCCUUUACCUGUUAUUGAUCAAAUGCUAGAAAGAUUGUCUAAGCAUACACACUUUUGCUUUCUAGAUGGUUAUUCUGGUGUCUCCCAAAUACCUGUUGCACAAUCUGAUCAGGAGAAAACCACUUUUACUUGCCCUUUCGGUACCUUUGCUUAUAGACGUAUGCCUUUUGGUUUAUGUAAUGCACCUGCUACCUUUAAAAGAUGUAUGGUGGCUAUAUUCUCUGACUUUUGUGAAAAGAUUGUUGAGGUUUUCAUGGAUGAUUUCUCCGUUUACGGAUCUUCUUUUGAUGAUUGCUUGAGCAACCUUGAUCGAGUUUUGCAGAGAUGUAAAGAUACUAACCUUGUCUUGAAUUGGGAGAAGUGCCACUUUAUGGUUAAUGAAGGCAUUGUCUUAGGACAUAAAAUUUCUGAAAGAGGUAUUGAAGUCAACAAGGCUAAAGUUGAUGCGAUCGAGAAAAUGCCAUGCCCUACAGACAUUAAAGGUAUAAGAAGUUUCCUUGGUCAUGCUGGUUUCUAUAGAAGGUUUAUUAUAGACUUCUCUAUGAUUUCUAGGCCUCUCACCAAUAUCUUGCAAAAAUAUAUUCCAUUUGUUUUUUAUGAUGAUUGUGAAGAAGCAUUUGAAAUACUUAAGAAGGCCUUGAUAACUGCACCUAUUGUUCAACCACCCGAUUGGAACCUACCUUUUGAAAUUAUGUGUGAUGCUGGUGAUUAUGUUGUUGGUGCUGUUCUAGGACAAAGAGUUGAUAAGAAAUUAAAUGUUAUUCAUUAUGCUAGUAAAACUCUAGACAGUGCCCAAAGAAACUAUGCUACUACUGAAAAAGAAUUUUUAGGAGUUGUGUUUCCAUGUGAUAAGUUCAGAUCUUAUAUUGUUGAUUCCAAAGUUACUAUUCACACUGAUCAUGCUGCUAUUAAAUAUCUCAUGGAAAAUAAAGAUGAUAAACCUAGACUUAUUAGAUGGUUUCUCUUGCUACAAGAAUUUGAUUUGCAUAUUGUUGAUAGAAAGGGUGCAGAGAACCCCAUAGCAGAUAAGUUGUCUAGGUUAGAGAAUGUUCUUGAUGACCCACAACCUAUUGAUGAUAGCUUCCCUGAUGAAUAAUUGAAUGUCAUCACCAACACUCCUCUCAUCGGAGGGGACUCUUCUCCAUCAACAUCUUCAUCAGCACCAUCUCAUCUCCAAACCCUAGUUCAUCUCUUGUACCCAAUCUCCGUCUCACGACUCCGAUUGGUACUUGUAAGGUUGCUAGUAGUGUUAAUUACUCCUNNNNNNNNNNNNNNNNNNNNNNNNNNNNNNNNNNNNNNNNNNNNNNNNNNNNNNNNNNNNNNNNNNNNNNNNNNNNNNNNNNNNNNNNNNNNNNNNNNNNCCAUCAUCAUCUACGUUACCGCUCAUUGAGAAGAUCGGGCUACCCCAUAUCAUAAAGUGCAUAAGUAAAGGGUUCGGGUAAGAGAUAACCGAGGUACGCGGAGACGAUGAUGUAUCCCGAAGUUCACACCCUUGCGGAUGCUAAUCUCCGUUGGAGCGGUGUGGAGGCACAAUGCUCCCCAAGAUGCCACUAAGGCCACCGUAAUCUCCUCACGCCCUCACACAAUGCAAGAUGCCGUGAUUCCACUAAGGGACCCUUGAGGGCGGUCACCGAACCCGUACAAAUGGCAAACCUUGGGGGCGGUUACCGAACCCGUACACGUGGCAACCCUUGGGGGCGGUUACCGGUACCCGUACAAAUUGCUCGAGGCUAUCUCCACAACCUAAUUGGAGGCCCCGACGCUUGCCCGGAGCUUCACACCACAAUGAUUGAGCUCCGAGACACCACCAAGCUUCUAGGAUGCCAAAGCAUCCACGAAGAACAAUAUCUAGGGUACUAAGUACCAAAGGUAGUAAGCUUCUCAACCUUCACUUCCACGUAUCACCGUGGAGAACUCAAACCGAUGCAACCAAUGCAAUGGCAAGAACACACGAAGUGGUCAAGUCUCUCACACUCAAAUCCCUCCACAACAACGAAAGCUAUGGAGAAAUAUGAGAGGAAGAACAAGGAGCUCACAAAGAACUCCAAGAUCAAGAUCCAAGGGGUUCCCCUCACAUAGAGGAGAAAGUGAUUGGUGGAGAUGUGGAUCUAGAUCUCCUCUCUCUUUUCCCUCAAGAACAAGCAAGAAUCAUUGGAGGGAUUGAGAGUAAGCAAGCUCUAAGAAUGUCAACAAUGGAGGUAGAACAAGAGCUCAACGAAUGGAUAAGGCCAAGGGGGAAGAAGACCCCCUUUAUAUAGUGGGGGAAGGAAUCAGACCGUUACCCCCACUCUCUGCCCGAGCUCCAGCGGUACUACCGCUGGCACCCCAGCGGUAGUACCGCUGACUACAGCGGUACUACCGCUGGGCCCCUGGUAGUGCAAAGGCACUACCACCGCCAAGAAAGUCUUUGCAAAAAUGUCCGUCCACGAACAACCGCUAGGCAGGCGGUACUAAGCUCCUGGAGCGGUACUACCGCUGACCAGGGGCGGUACUAUCGCCAGCCAGCGGUACUACCGCCAACUCUAACGGUACUACCGCUAGGUCCAGCGGUACUACCGCUCGCCACUGAAACAGCCAUAACUUUCGCAUACGAGCUCCGAAUCGAGCAAACCCAAGCUUGUUGGAUUCAGGACGACAAGAGCUAUCUUAAGACCAUGCAGAUAUGAGUCCUAUAUGAAAAUGCCAAUGAUAUAGAGAUGUGAGUCCUCUAUGAAUGAAGAACCGGCAAAAACUCCAACAUCGAAAACAUCAUAGUAGAUGCAUAUGGACUCCAUUUUCGAUGAACUCGAGCCUGUCACGAAGAUGACCAUAAGCUCUAAAACUCACAAAGAGAAACACCAAACAAGAACCAAGAAGUAUGAUGCAAGGAUGCAAAUGGUUUGAGCUCUCAACGAACGAUACGAUCAAGCUACUCACUUGAGAGCCCCCCUUGAUAGUACAACAAUCUAUCCUAAACAGAAAACCUAUCAAGGGCAAACCUAUACCUUGCACCUCGUCCUCUUGAGCUAGAAGAUGAUGAUCUUGGCUUCCUCAAGAUGGACUACCUUUCUUGAUUGCGUUGGCUUGAUGAAGACUAGUUGAUUGCUCCCCCAUACUCACUAUGGGUGAGCCACUCUUCAGCAUAUCUUCACAAGUCCAUUGCCACCACAAUGGACGGCAAGCUUCAAGCAUGAUAUCUUCGUGCUGAUCCACUUGAAAUUGCACAUCGCAAUCUUGAUGACGAUCACAACUUGACGUCAUACUUCAUGGGUUGUAUGAGAUCUUCCCUUUGACGCAAGCCCAUGGAAACACACCUAACCCCCACAUAGAACUCUCACGAAGACCAUGGGUUAGUACACAAACACGUAAUGGACAAUGCUUACCAUACCAUGGGAUCACUUGAUCCCUCUCGGUACAUCUUGUACGCUUUGUGUGUUGAUCAUCUUGAUUUGCUCUUUGUCUGAGAUCUUGAUCAACCAUGUGUCUCUAUGACCAUUCUAUGGAUAAUACCUUGAAUACCACCUUGGUCAUCAUAUAAACUCCUUGAACCCAACAGAUGGACUUCAAGAAGUGCCUAUGGACAAAUCCUAUAAAUAUAACUUAAGGCAACCAUUAGUCCAUAGGAAUUGUCAUCAAUUACCANNNNNNNNNNNNNNNNNNNNNNNNNNNNNNNNNNNNNNNNNNNNNNNNNNNNNNNNNNNNNNNNNNNNNNNNNNNNNNNNNNNNNNNNNNNNNNNNNNNNNNNNNNNNNNNNNNNNNNNNNNNNNNNNNNNNNNNNNNNNNNNNNNNNNNNNNNNNNNNNNNNNNNNNNNNNNNNNNNNNNNNNNNNNNNNNNNNNNNNNNNNNNNUGGUAAUUGAUGACAACUACUUCAAGAGAGUUUAUAUAAGGAAAUAAGCAUAACCAACCGCACACAUACAAAGCAAUAAUGCAUGCGUGCAAGAUGUAAAUGCUUACGCAAUAAAAGCAAACCCCUCUAAACAUAUCCAAAGUAAACUCUCUAAACUUCUCCCCCAUUGGCAUCGAUUGCCAAAAUGGACGAAAAGUUUAGAAAGCCAAUAUAUUUGGUGGUCCUCAAAAAAGUGUGUACUUCUCAGCAAAUGAGUGCCAAGAAAUACACAAAUACAAUGAUAAGUAGUUGGAGGAAAACAAACUAUAUUGAGGACCCAAAGAUUGCAAAUAAAAGAAUCGUAUGCCACAAGGACAUACCACAAUAGAGGCAAGCAAUCAAAAGAUACCGGAUGGGACAAACAAUCAUAUGGUCCUUCGAACCACAUGAAUAAAAGAUAUUAUGAUAAAAGCAACGGAGUGUUUUAUCAAAACUAGAGAAGCUCCCCAUGAUUUGUGCACUAAUAGGAGAUUUUUGUAUAUGAUACAAGUGCACAAAAUAGGAUCGUUGCUCCCCCAAAAUUAAUAAAAACACACAAUGGGUGCAAGAAGAAAGAUGAGACAAUAAGCAAAUCUCUUGCACAAAACAAGUGUUUGAGCAACAUGUAAAAGAAGCAACUUAAGAUUAGGCUCAACCAAAAUAAUGUGUGUGAGUCAUGGCAAGGCACUUGAGAAGACUAAGAUAAGGAUGAACAUUACUCAUCAACAUAGUCUUGAUGAAAUGAGACACAAAGUGCAAGACAUAUCAUUCCCACACACACAUACUAGAAAAUGGGUUCACAAGCUUACUAAUAAACAAAAUAAGAACCAACGCUUGUGACAACCCAUGGUGAAGAAAGGAAAUAAGAGCCUUGUCAAGAGAGGAGGGAUACCAAUCGAAAUGGCAAAACCCUCAUCAAGACAGGCAUGAGGAAAAAUAAUCUUCACGGCCAAAGAGUGCAUCAAGAUGUAGGAAAAUAAGAUACACACUCAAGACAAAUCCUUUCACGAAGCCACCAAAAACUGAAAAAGGAAAUGCAACGGUGGACGUAAAAGAAAAGAGGAUAUAAAUUAGAGAUGUAACUUCUCUCAUGUGUAAAAGAUUCUAAGUAGAAGACAAUCAUGAUGAUAUAUAUCCACAAAGAAGAAUGUACACACAAAAUGGUUACAAGAAGGAACAAACUAGAUAUCCAAAAGGAAGUCAUAAAUAUAUCAAUAAGAUCUUUUGCUUGGAAGCCCUUUGUAAGAGAUGAGUUCUCGUUCGAAACCCUGAUACUUCAAGAGAGAUUGUCCGUUNNNNNNNNNNNNNNNNNNNNNNNNNNNNNNNNNNNNNNNNNNNNNNNNNNNNNNNNNNNNNNNNNNNNNNNNNNNNNNNNNNNNNNNNNNNNNNNNNNNNNNNNNNNNNNNNNNNNNNNNNNNNNNNNNNNNNNNNNNNNNNNNNNNNNNNNNNNNNNNNNNNNNNNNNNNNNNNNNNNNNNNNNNNNNNNNNNNNNNNNNNNNNNNNNNNNNNNNNNNNNNNNNNNNNNNNNNNNNNNNNNNNNNNNNNNNNNNNNNNNNNNNNCAACUUUCAACAUUUUUAGAGUUCAUUUGUAGUGCUUUUCAAUUUCAGGGUCAACUAGCUCAAAAAAAUAAGUAAAUGCACGAAAUAUACCAAAUGAAGUCACAAAUUGUUGAAAUUUUGUGACGUGCCUUUGAAUGGUGCAUUUUGAACACACAAAAAGUAUGGAGUUCAAAUAAGUUCAAAAAAAUGAAAUCCCUUUGUAAGAGAUGAGUUCUCGUUCGAAACCCUGAUACUUCGAGAGAGAUUGUCCGUUNNNNNNNNNNNNNNNNNNNNNNNNNNNNNNNNNNNNNNNNNNNNNNNNNNNNNNNNNNNNNNNNNNNNNNNNNNNNNNNNNNNNNNNNNNNNNNNNNNNNNNNNNNNNNNNNNNNNNNNNNNNNNNNNNNNNNNNNNNNNNNNNNNNNNNNNNNNNNNNNNNNNNNNNNNNNNNNNNNNNNNNNNNNNNNNNNNNNNNNNNNNNNNNNNNNNNNNNNNNNNNNNNNNNNNNNNNNNNNNNNNNNNNNNNNNNNNNCAACUUUCAACAUUUUGAGAGUUCAUUUGUAGUGCUUUUCAAUUUCAGGGUCAACUAGCUCAAAAAAAAGUAAAUGCACGAAAUAUACCAAAUGAAGUCAGAAAUUGUUGAAAUUUUGUGAUGUGCCUUUGAAUGGUGCAUUUUGAACACACAAAAAGUAUGGAGUUCAAAUAAGUUCAAAAAACCAUAUUAUGAAAUUAAAUAUUAUCAUUGACGAUUCAUCUCUAUUAUGAAAUUAAAUAUAUCAAAAAACCAUUGCAGAACAUAUGACCAAAUUAAUACAAGUUCAUCAUCACAUUAAAGCCAAAGAACAGUAGUGAUGUUAUUAUUGCAAAAAAUAAAUACAUAAAGUUCUCUCAUAAAACAACAUACAACUAUGUAAAACAUUUAAAUGCAACAACAAACGCGAUCAAAAUCGCAACUAAGGUAACAAUUGACCCAACAACAUAAUGAUACCAAGCCUCUUUAUCAAUGGCAUAUUUUCUAAUAUUCCUAAUCUUCAAGCGCAUUUCAUCCAUCUUCAAGCGCAUUGCAUCCAUCUUCAACCGCAUCGCAUCGAUCUUCAUCUUGCGAUCAUCGAUGACACCGACAACAUGCAACUCCAGUUCCAUAUUCUUAUCCUCAAUUAUUUUCAAUUUUUUCUUCAAGUAUUUGUUUUCUUUUUCAACCAAAUUUAACUUCUCGACGAGAAUUUUUAUGUGGGUUGGAAUUUACGGUUCACAUACCUCCUAGAUUAAAAAAUAUAUGUCACGUUGGUCGUCAUAAUUGUCAUAAACACUAAAUAAAACAAAUAGUUAUAAAACAUAAUAUAUACCACAUCCGAAUCAUAGACAGGACGAGGGCCGACGGAGGCGGAUACCAAAACCAUCGCACUAUAUAAUAACAAAAAGUAAUGAAAGUGAGUAAUUUAUACAAGUAUGUAUCUAAAUCAUACAAGUAAGAUUUUUUUUCUUUUAAAAAGAAGAUAAGAACAAGAGGCUCACCACGGUGGUGCUCGCGACGAGAUCGGCACGAGGCGAUCGACAAUGGUGAGGACGGACACGGGACGACACCCUACGCAUGUGCAGACUCUAAGAAGUUAAUUUGAGCAUUUGAAAUGAGCUACACUAGCAGUGACAAAUGAAAGGAUGAAGUAGCUAACCUUUUAAAACACUUGUGCAGUUGGUGCAUGGCCAAACCUAGACAAAUAUUAAGGAAAAUGGAGCUUGGAGGUCGAGCUUGGAGAGGAGAAAGCUUAAGUAGAGUGGCUCGGGCAUUUCAUCGAACACGUCAUGUGCAUGAACUAGAGUGGCAAGAGCAUGGCAUGGUCACACUUCAACAACCAAAAAACAGGGGAUAUGGUGGGCAGGGGCGAGGGUUUAUAUAGGCAACACUCUAGUCCCGGCUUUUGUCUAAAACCGGGACUAAUAGCCUAACCUUUAGUCCCGGUUCUUUCCAUGCCCCGGGACUAAAGGCCCCUGCUUCCCGCCUUCUGGUCUGCCGAAAAAGGGCCUUUAGUCCCGGGUGGAGCCACGACCCGGGACUAAAGGGGGUCUUUAGUCCCGGUUCGAGCCACGCACCGGGACUAAAGAUCCACCUGUAUAAGCGGGAGUUGGAAAAUUUCCAACCCAAAUCGUCCAUUUCUCUUCUUCUUCCUCUCGUUCUCCUGCCCGGCGCGGCACAACGACGAACUCGACGACGCCGUCAGGCUGCCCGCCGUCCUGCUCGCCGCCGCCUGCCGUCCUCCUCACCUUCGCCGUCGUCCUGCUCGCCGUCGUCGUCAUCCUCGCCGCGUGCAGCCCUCCUCGCCGUGCGCCGCCGUCCUCCUCGCCGCGCGCCGUCGACACCUCCGGCCGGUAAGCCCCCCGCCCCCUCCUCCCCAACACUCCGGCCAGUAGAAGAAAAGAAUAAAAAGGAGAAGAAAAUAAGAAAAAGGAGAAGANNNNNNNNNNNNNNNNNNNNNNNNNNNNNNNNNNNNNNNNNNNNNNNNNNNNNNNNNNNNNNNNNNNNNNNNNNNNNNNNNNNNNNNNNNNNNNNNNNNNNNNNNNNNNNNNNNNNNNNNNNNNNNNNNNNNNNNNNNNNNNNNNNNNNNNNNNNNNNNNNNNNNNNNNNNNNNNNNNNNNNNNNNNNNNNNNNNNNNNNNNNNNNNNNNNNNNNNNNNNNNNNNNNNNAAAGGAAGAAAAAGGGAAGGAGAAGAAAAGAAGAAAAAGGAGAAGAAAAGAAGAAAAGGGGAAGAAAGGAAGAAAAAGGAGAAGAAACGAAGAAAAAGGAGAACAAAGGAAGAAAAAGGGAAGAAAAGAAGAAAAAUAUUUUUUUUGUCAUUUAAUUCCUAUUGUUAUUAGGUUUGUUCUAGAUUAUUAGGGUUAGUAAUAUGUAGAAUUAGGAAAAAGGAAAAUAAAAAGAGGAGGAGAAGAAAAGAAGAAAAAGGAGAAUAAGAAGAGGAGGAGAGGAGAAGAAGAGGAAAAAUAGAAGAAGAGGAGAAGUAUAGAAGAAGAGAAAAAAUUAGAAGAGGAGGAGAGGAGAAGUAGAAGAAGAGAAGAGGAGAAGUAGUAGAAGAAGAGGAGAAGUAGAAGUAGAAGAAGAAGUAGAAGAAGAGGAGAAAUAGAAGAAGAGGAAAACUUAGUUUAGGGUUACAAGAAGAAGAAAUAUUUUUUUUGUCAUUUAAUUUUGCUAUUGUAUAGUGUAUAUGCUUAAGUGUUAAUAGUGUUUCUUAGAUUAUUGCUUAAUUUUGCUAUUGUAUAUGCUUAAGUGUUAAUAGUUUAAUUUUGCUAUUGUAUAUGCUUAAGUGUUAAUAGUUUAUUUUUAGCAAGAAAAUUAAUAGAACUAGUUUAAUUUUGCUAUUGUAUAUGCUUAAGUGUCCGGGACUGGGCUCCGCCCGACUGGUAUUUUAGAGUUUAGGUUCUAGCCAAGACCCGGGACUAAAGGUCCUCCUAUAUAAAACGACACUUUGAAGUUUCCAACCCUUCUUAUAUAGUUUGCUAGUUUAUUAGUUAAUCAAAUGUCCGUUUUUUGCAGAACUAUGGAUCCACAUAUCAGGAACCUCGAAGAGGAAGAACUUCUCGAAGAUAUAAUCAAAGACGGCCCCGACGUUGAACCAGCUGAAUCUCCGUCGUCAUAUCUAAACGCCUACCGAUAUGGAAUGGAGGUCGAGCGACACGAAGAUGAAGCCGAUGGGCAGGAGAUAGGUCCAAUGACGGAGAAGGUGAUAGCUCCACUGAUGGAGAAGCCGGUGGAGAAGCCGGUGAAGAAAUAAUAAAGUCCGGCGAGGUAUACAUAUGAUGUUCGACAAUCACUUGUAAUAUGUGAAAAAUAUUGGAGAUAGCUCUAUAUUGUAUACAUAUACAUUCACUUGACGAAUGUUUCUCCCUCUUAGGCCUCCACAUAGAGCAAAGCUACGAAACGAGGCCCGACUAGAAAGUUGGAUGCACGGACGCAUUACACCUUUGAGGUGAUAUUGCCUACGGGCGAACCCAAGCUUCCUAAGAAUGCUGCUGACACAUUCAAGAAGCAAUGCGGAGUUCUCGUUAGGGAUCACGUCCCGAUCAGCGUUCGGGAGUGGAACAAGCGCAAAGGGGCAGCCGAUAGUGACUAUGUCGCCGAAAGGUACAAAGAUAAUCUUUGGAAUGAUCUCAUGUCACAUUUCAACCUGCCAGAAUGUGAGAAUGAAGACGCCUCAGACAAACUGAGGGCCAAAGUCAAGAAGUGGACUCUAAAGAAGAUGGCCGAACUGUUCCAUAGCUGGAAGAAAAAGCUAUGGAAAAACUAUCUGAAGACAAAGAAAGUGCGAGUAUUCGAGGGGUAUCUAGCCAAGGAGGCGAAUCACUGGAAGGCAUUUCAAGAGUACAAGGAGUCAGAAGAUGCCCAGACAUUAUGAGAAAAGAACAAGAUAAAUGCCGACAAGAAGAAAUAUCACCACAAGCUGGGGCCAGGGGGCUAUGAGACUGCCAUCCCAAAGUGGGAUAAGAAAGAGCAAGAUCUGCUAGAUAAAGGCAUCGUACCUGAACCACUCCGUGAUGAGUGGGAAUUGAGAGCAAGAAAUUGGUUCCUUGCGCAUGGUGGUUCGUACGACGAAGAAACAGGGGACCUCAUCUGCAGUGACGGUCUUAGGAUACCCAGGGAUAAUUGGAAAAGGAUAGUGAAAGAAAUUAAGGAGGGAAAAAGAAAGUUCACUGCAGAUAGAGAUAAAGAUUUGCUCACACUGGUCCUCGGCAAUGGCGAACAUGGAGGACGAACGCGAGGCUUCGGUCCUUCUUACCCGUGGUGGCUUGGGUUUGCCAGAGACCAAGACACUUACAGAAGCCGAAAGAGAGCAAAGAAGCGGCAGCAGGAUGAGGAGAAUGACAAGUUCAACCAGUUCCUUGCCAGGAUUAACGAGCAACAGAAGCAGAUUGAUGAGCUUAGAGGAGUAUCGCGCCAGGAAGAUCCUGCACUUGAUAUUACGGGCACCCCAUCUAAGCGGAAAAGCAGCGUGGCUGAAUCUGAGGCCCCGCCCGACGAUGCACGAAGAAUGAUAGAGGGCGGUCCCGGCUACCCCGUGGAUGGAAUCAAGGAGUCAACAUCAUGUGAACUCCAUAAUAAAUUCAAGAACAUAUCCAUGAAGGUGGCCAUCGGACAAGCUUUACCUUCUGGCCCUGAUGCACGCUGGCAUGGCCGUGAGAUUCGAGCUGGCUUUGCUAAAGUCGGGGUGGAUGAAAUCCUGACGGGGUUUCAUGAUAUGGAGCUCGACAUAGCUGGACCCGAAGAUGAGAGGACACUCGGAGAAGUACUGGGUGGAUUCAUCCUAUGGGACAAGAAGUACAUCAAGCUUCCAGGCUCGGCCCCAAGGACAACACCGCCUCCGAGUCGUCGCAGGUCACCUACACCUCCAUUACCUCCAAGCCCUCCACAUGACGUCGGCCAGCACAACACGAGUCCAUCUCGAUCACCGCCGCCGGACUUGGGUCGUCCGUCUCCGCCGCCGCCCGCUCCGGAUACUAAGCGGGAGUGUGCCACCAAGAACGCUCCGCCGAUGAUUCCUAAGCGACGGAGCCCCCCAAAGCGCAAACGGUCGCCCCUCCCAAAGGUACGUCAUGCUAAUCUUCCUACUAGACCUUAUGAUCGUACCCCCGAGGAAAACGCCAGGAUAGCAAAGGAACAUCAUGAUGCGCAGAUGAAAAAGAAGGAACCCGAGCCCCGCCCGGAAUACACCGAGAAGCAAAUAGCAUUUGCAAAAUACUUCACGACCCUUCCAUCACAGUAUGACUUACACCAUAAGCCUGAUGACUAUACACGCACAUUGCAGAAGGAAGUGAAAAAGAGCAGAUCACGUGCAAGUGCAAGUGGGGGCAAAUCAAGUUCAACUACAAGCAAGAAAAAAUCAGACGUUCCUCAGCUUGGGCAACAGGCCAAACAGUCGAUCCCACCCCUCAAGGUGUUAACCGAGAAUGUUCCCCCUCCGGUGCAGGGGCAAGCUUUUGAAAUAGCAAAGGAGUGGGCGGCUGAAUGUGGUGUCUCGGUUGAAGUUUUGCUGGCUUCCCAAGACGACAGGAUACCCAAGGCUGUGGUAGCCCCUAAGCCACAGUUUGUCAUGGGAGAGCCUUUGGUCAGCAAAGAUGAUCUCCCAACAAAUAUGCGUUACUUGCAUCAAUGGUACUUAAGUGAAUCAAAGAAUGGGAGAACGAUGAUCGUGCUGAGUGUCCCACGGGAGUACUACGGCCGCCCCGAACAAAUCCAUAUCGACUUUGAUGAACUCUUCCAGAUGUACAAUGGCGACGCCCUCAACAAAUCGCUUAUGAGUUACUAUUGUCUGUAAGUUUUUCAAUUCGUUGUCUACAUAUAACUUGUUUAGUUAUUUCAAUUCAUUGUCUAUAUAUAACUUGUACUCUAUUAUGCAGAAUGAAGAUUCUGGAUUGUAAAAGUAAGAACAUCCUAAAUAUUGGAUUUAGAUAAAAUACAUAUAGUGACGCUAACUGAUAAACCCAAGGAGACGGAGGAAAACCUUCUAAGGUUUCUAACAGAUCAAAAUUUCUGUUACCACAUAAUGUUUCCAUACAACUUCAGGUGAGGGUCUUUACUCUGUUGUGUCCAUUCACUUAUAAGUGUAAUUGAUAAGUUACUGACACAUAUAUAUAUAUAUACAUGUGCAGCUUCCAUUGGAUUCUGUUGGACAUUCAAAUUGAUAAGGGAAGAGUUGAUGCCUUCGACCCAUUAUCGAGACCCUUGGAACAGUUCCAAAGCCUGCAGGACAUGCUCCAAGGGUAAUUUCAAUCAUUCUUGCGCUCUAUCGGUCUCUUUCGAUGAUUUUCUGAUAUAUCAAUUAAUGAAAAACUUAGCAAAUCAUUAUCCUUGUCGGGCAGGGCUUGGAAGCGGUUCAAGUGCGUGACUCCCGGUAACUUUCCUGAGAAGCUGACCUUUAGAGCGGCUCAGGUAAGUAGUAGUAUGAUAUACUUCUAUUUUCAAUACAUUUAUGAUGCUAGAUUAUUAUUUUGAUUAUAUAUAUUCUAUUCUUGUAAAGUGCGACCAGCAGCCACGGGGAACGCAUCUAUGCGGAUACUAUGUUUGUGAGACCAUUCGCACGUUUACCUAUGAGCACAAGGAUCACAGAUUCGACGUAAGCAAUGAACAUUCACACCUCUAUUUUUACCCGUCAUUCUUUGUUAUCAUGAUUGAUAUUCAUAUUCAUCUCCUCUUCUUAUAUAGUACACGGCCAUGACGACGAAGGUCCUACUAGAGCAACGCGCGAUUGCUGCUGCAGAGGAGCUUGCGACCUUUCUGAGGACGGAAGCUAUAGAUGACAAAGGAGGAUUUAGUGUAGCUAGGGGCCAUUACUGAUGUUCGUCCAUGUAAUCGAAUAGACGGCCUCUAGUCCCGAUAAUUCAGAUCUCCAUAUAAUUGUAUAUAUAUGCUCGCUUGUAAGAUAAGUUAAUCUUAUAUAUAUAUAUAUAUGCAUAAUUAUUUCUAUUUAAAUUAUAUGAAAACUAAUUCCCGAACACCAAAUAAGGCAUCACGUUAAUCUCCCGAACACCUAAACCCUAAAACCCUAAAAUCCAAAAAUAAUUUCAUUCAAAAAAAAAUCCAAAAAUGAACAAAAUCUGAAACUCUUGAGUCCCGAUCCGUGUAACGAACCGGGACUAAAGGGCCUGCCCCUCGGGCGCUACGAGACGCCCACGUGGAGCACCUUUAAUCCCGGCUUGUAACAGGGCCGGGACUAAAGGUUAGGCCUUUAGUCCCGCCCCUUUAGUUCCGGUUGGUGAACCGGGACUAAAGCCCCUUACGAACCGGGGCUAAAGGCCCCGUCCCCACUAGUGAAUGGAAUAGUCCAAGUAAGCAUGCUCCUCCUGAAACCAUGCGUACAUACGCGAGCCACUCACGGCCUCACGGCUUCUCCUUCUGGAUAUGGGCGUAGAUUAACCAUGUGUUGACUGGACUAGCUAUAUAUGAAAAUCCAAAUGACAGACUCGAUCGAGUUGCUUCAUGCAUGUCUUGUUCGUGGAAUUCUUUGCCAGUGCAAUAAAAUUCCUUGCCAUGGUGCUAGACUUUCCAGGCAAACUGCAGAAAUUGCUCGUACAAAUCCACUAUAAAACCCCCUCUAAACUGAAGCUAUACGUACAAAAGCAUAGCCAGCUAGCUACGGCCUACACAUACGCAGGCACAAAGAAAUCAUUUAGACACCAAACCCAGAAUGGAGACGCCCAAGCUGGCCAUUUUGCUCGCCCUAGCCAUGGCAGCCGCCAUGGUUAAUCUUUCCCAAGCGCAAAACUCACCUCAGGACUACCUUUCACCCCACAACGCCGCCCGCGCUGCCGUCGGCGUGGGCGCAGUGAGCUGGAGCACGAAGCUGCAGGCGUACGCCCAGAGCUACGCCAACCAGAGGAUCGGCGACUGCAAGCUCCAGCACUCCGGCGGGCCCUACGGGGAGAACAUCUUCUGGGGGUCGGCCGGCGCGGACUGGAAGGCGGCGGACGCGGUGAAGCUGUGGGUGGACGAGAAGAAGGAUUACGACUACGGGUCCAACACCUGUGCAGGGGGGAAGGUGUGCGGGCACUACACGCAGGUGGUGUGGCGCGCGUCGACCAGCAUCGGCUGCGCUCGCGUCGUCUGCAACAACAACGGCGGCGUCUUCAUCACCUGCAACUACGAGCCCGCCGGGAAUGUUGUUGGACAGAAACCAUACUAAACUGUGAUUGCUUUUCGCAGUACAUAUAUUCAUGCACGCUCGUAUCUAUAAUUAGCUAGAGGGGCUGGGCGAGUAAAUAAAAGGAAUGCUGUAAUAAGCUAUGUAUUCUCCUCUCCAUCAUGGACUGUAAUAAAUAAUGAGCUUUUUUACUGUACCCUAAAAUUCAUAUGAACCUUUCAUUACAGUUAAUCUAAUCUUAAAGAUGAUUGUGAUGAUAUAUUGAAUAAUACUCCAGCACAAGUAAAUAGGAGGAUAUACCCCCUAAAAAUCCAAGGAGAGUACCAAGUGUUUAGCUAAGCGUAUUGAUGGAGUUAUAGUCCGAGGGUAGGGUCAUAGGUCUGCCCUAUAGGUCCUACUCAAGGACUACCCUUCAUAGAGGGCAAGGCCCUUAGACAGUUCCAACUGAACUAAGGACGUCCCCAUCAUCCAGUCGGCGACGAUCCACUCGGAGCAUAUCUAACGUACCGACUGGAAUCCACUCUGUAACGUCGUAACCUCCNNNNNNNNNNNNNNNNNNNNNNNNNNNNNNNNNNNNNNNNNNNNNNNNNNNNNNNNNNNNNNNNNNNNNNNNNNNNNNNNNNNNNNNNNNNNNNNNNNNNNNNNNNNNNNNNNNNNNNNNNNNNNNNNNNNNNNNNNNNNNNNNNNNNNNNNNNNNNNNNNNNNNNNNNNNNNNNNNNNNNNNNNNNNNNNNNNNNNNNNNNNNNNNNNNNNNNNNNNNNNNNNNNNNNNNNNNNCACUACUCCACCCCUGUCCACCGGACCAUUAUGAAGGGCAGCACACUCUAUAUAAGCCGUCCUUCACCACUGGUACAGGGGUUGGCACUUGCUGUAAUCCCUUUAUUCACUCGACACAAAGCUCCCAAGAGCACUGAGACGUAGGGCUUUUACCUCCACCGUAGAGGGGUCUGAACUCAUACAUCCUCGCCGUAGCUAAGGCUUUGCCCAUAUACUUUCGUACCUCGUACUUCUACUGUCAGACUUAUACCCACGACAGUUGGCGCCCACCGUGGGGCAGGCGUCUAAGCGACUUCCGGCGAGUUUGCGAUUUCAUCUUUUCGUCAUGUCAUCCGGCGGAGAUCUGUGCAUGGGUCAUGAGAUCCUCUUCGGUGCACUCUCCUUCGUCGCCGAUGAUUCGGCAUGGCUUCAGGAUGCGCCCCUCGACAUCGAGACGCUUCCUAGUCGCGGGGCUACGCACUUCCGUGCCAGUUCCUGCGGCGUUCUCCUUCUCCAGCCAUCGACCCCGGUGUCGAUCUUCGCCCCCGUCACGCGCCGCAACAAGCGAUCCGGUCGUUCGCGGCUCCAGCGUUGGGUGCGACACGCCCUAGCGCGACAAAACAUGUCCUCUCAAGUGGCAGUGCUCGAAUCGGUUGUGGUCCCGCGGUCAUCCCACUGCUUGGAGUCAGUUCCGACUGAACUACCUUCCGAGUAUCAGGGUCACGGGCCUGCAGCCGAAGUACUCAUGGCCAAUUCCCACGAAAGUCCCUUUAAGACUGGUCGGAACGAGCGUGAGAUCGGAGAAUCAUCCGACGCUCGUUGUCAGCACCCUCGUUCUUCCAGUCGACGCACUCGCCAGAGCAACAUCGAGGUGUUCCGCACACCCAUCCUCAACUUGGCUGCAGCUGCCAGGAUAGCUGAUUCUCUCCAGCCGACUGAUUCGGAGGCUGGUAGAGGAAUCGAGUAGAUUCGUGCCUUGUUACAUACGACGCAGCAGCAAAACUCGGCGGUCUCCCAGUCGCACAACAAGAUCCACAACAGUUCUGUUCAAGCGAACACACAUCGGUCGGUUUUCAGUCCCGACUCUCACCGGCGAUGCAGAGGGGGCAUCCGUUCCAGGGACCCGAGUCGGAAUCCGCUUUCCAUUCGGUCCCAUCCUGAAGAUCGUCGCCGUUCGUGUACUCCUCCGCGGAGUGGGCCUUACGGACCCCGGUAUUACGAUGAUCAUCGUUCGGGCGGUGGCGCGCAUGAUCAAAGGCCUGAUGCAAGAGGCUAUAUCACUCAGAAGAAGGUUGAUAGAAGCCGAGCCCACCGUGAUGGUCACGAUAGAGAUCAUCCGAGUGGAAGCAGGACCGUUGUUUCUUGUCCCGAGUGCUUCAGUCGGGCCAUUCGCUCGGCUGACAUCCCUCCCAACUUCCGAUUGGCGACGGGAAUCAGCAAAUUCAUAGAAGAUUCCAAACCAGAAACUUGGUUAGACGACUACAGAGUGGCGGUCUAGAUCGGUGGCGGAGAUGACCAUGUCGCCAUGAAACAUCUCCCACUGAUGCUUGACGGUUCGGCUCGAGCUUGGCUAAACCAGUUAGCUCCAUCAAGCAUUUACAGUUGGGCAGAUCUGUCCCGAGUCUUCAUCAGGACCUUCGAGGGUACGUGCAAACGCCCUGCUGGUCUCAUAGAGCUUCAAGACCGUGUCCAGAAGCAAAACGAGCCCUUGCGCGAUUUCAUCCAGCACUGGACAACCCUCUACCACACGGUGGAGAAUGUUACAGAGCACCAAGCAGUCUGCGCCUUCGAGGCAGGCGUUCGGUACCGAGAUCUAUACCUGAAGUUUGGUCGGACAGGCGACAUCUCCAUGAGCAAGAUGAUGGAGAUAGCCGCGCGCUAUGCAAAUGGCGAAGAGGAGGACCGCAUACGUAGCGGCAAGCAUAAGUCAGUCACCGACGGAGAUGGGAACAGCAGUCGGAAGCAGAAACAGAAAGCUCAAUCCACUCCGCAAGCAGAGGUGGCAGUCGUUACAAACGCUAAGUUCAAAGGCAAGGGGAAAGCACAGUACACCCCCAAGAAGAAACAGUCAGGAAAUUCCAUCCUAGAUCAACCGUGUCCCAUCCACACGAAGACGGAUGAAGAAGGCAAUGUCAUAUUGCCGAAACAUACCACUCGGCAGUGUCGCCUCCUGAUCCAAGGAUUUGGUGAAGGACAGUCGAGUGAGAAAGACACCGAGAAAGAUGAUGAGGACAAGGAGGAUCCGUUCCCUCAAGUCCAUGCAACGUUAAUGAUUUUUGCUGAUGUAGAAAGCAAAAGUCGACUGAAGCUGGUCAACAGGGAGGUAAACAUGGCAACCCCAUCCACUCCCACGUUCCUCAAGUGGUCACAGACUGCAAUCACUUUUGAUCAGUCAGACCACCCAGCACACGUACCCACCCGAGGGAGGCAAGCUCUGGUCGUCGACCCGAUGGUGGAAGGAGUUAGGCUGCGCAAAGUCCUCAUGGACGGCGGCAGCGGCUUGAAUAUCAUGUAUGCCGACACUCUCAAGGGAAUGGGCAUUCCGAUGUCCAGACUUAGCAAGAGCAGUAUGCAAUUCCAUGGAGUCGUCCUUGGAAGAAAGGCUAAAUCACUCGGUCAGAUUGCGUUGGAUGUCGUUUUCGGCUCUCACAAGAAUUUCCGCAAAGAGAAGUUAACAUUCGAGGUGGUAGACUUCCAGAGUGCAUACCAUGCCAUUCUGGGCCGUCGGGCAUACGUACGUUUCAUGGCCCGUCCAUGUUACGUAUAUUUGAAGCUGAAGAUGCCUGGUCUCAAAGGCGUGAUAACUGUCACACGCAAUCGGCAGCGGGCCGAGGAGUGUCUGCAGCAGGGUCGAGAAUUGCAGACCAUCAGAUGGUUGUGCUCGAGUUGGAUGAGUACAAGAAGAUUGCCGACCCCGCCGACCUGAUGCGUUCAAAGAAGCCAGCUUCCGAGUCCGCAUUCCAGUCGGCGGGAGACACGAAGAAAGUAAGCAUCCACCCGACGGAUGCCACCACCGCCCCAACAAACAUCUCCACCACCCUUGAUGCAAAAUAGGAAGCCGAGCUCAUCCAAUUACUCCGUGAGAACUGGGACAUUUUUGCAUGGAAGCCUGUUGACAUGCCAGGUGUACCGAGGGAGUUGGCUGAGCACCGACUGCAUGUGGACCCUGCCGCUCGGCCCGUCCAAGAACGCCUGCGUCGGUCCGCCGCGCACAAGAGAAAAGCAAUCGGAGAGGAGGUAGCUAAACUUCUGGCUGCCAACUUCAUUCGCGAGGUACACCACUCCGAGUGGCUCGCUAAUGUUGUCAUGGUGCCCAAGAAGGACAAGUAUCUCCGUAUGUGCAUCGAUUUCAAGCACCUUAAUAAGGUCUAUCCGAAAGACCACUUCCCGCUCCCCCGCAUUGAUCAAAAUUGUUGAUUCGACUGCGGGUUGCGAGCGCUUAUCCUUCCUUGAUGCCUAUUCGGGCUAUCAUCAGAUCCGUCUGCAUGGUCCAGAUGAAUUAAAAACAUCUUUCAUCACCCCAUUCGGGUGCUUCUGUUACAUCACUAUGCCAUUCGGUUUGAAGAAUGCAGGAGGAACUUUUAUGCGAAUGAUCCAAAAAUGCCUCCUAGACCAGAUUGGUCGAAAUGUGGAGGCAUAUAUGGACGAUAUCGUAGUCAAGUCACGCAAAGGUUCCGACCUGCUGACUGACUUGGCAGAAACAUUCGCCAACCUACGUAGGUACGAUAUCAAGCUCAACCCAGCCAAGUGUUCAUUCGGCGUUCCCAGCGGGAAGUUACUCGGUUUCUUCGUUUCCGAACGAGGGAUCGAUGUCAACCCCGAAAAGUUCAGGACCAUUGUUCGAAUGGAGCGGCCGGUAAGAGUACAUGACGUACAAAAGCUCACAGGUUGCCUAGCGGAUUUGAGCAGGUUUAUCGCUCGACUCGGCGAGAAGGCGUUACCUCUGUACCGACUCAUGAAGAAGUCAGAUACCUUCGAGUGGACAGACGAACACCAAAUCGCAUUCGACGACCUCAAAGCCCUGCUUUCCACACAGCCGGUUCUUACUGCCCCGCUCAGUAAAGAACCCCUUCUUCUGUACAUCGCGGCUACAAAUCAAGUCGUCAGCACUGUUCUGACAGUCGAACGCGAAGAAGAAGGCAAAGCGUACAAGGUUCAACGACCAGUAUAUUAUGUUUCCGAAGUCCUGAUUCCUUCCAAGCAGAGGUAUCCCCAUUAUCAGAAGCUUAUUUAUGGGAUCUACAUGACUGCAAAGAAGGUGGCUCAUUAUUUCCAAGACCACUCGGUAUCUGUCAUAUUUGAUGCUCCAUUGUCGGAAAUUCUCCACAAUCAGGACGCAUCAGGCCGAGUGGCAAAGUGGGCAAUGGAGAUGCUAUACUGCGACAUCAAGUUCGAAGCCAAGAAAGCUAUAAAGUCUCAAGCUCUUGCUGACUUCAUAGCAGAAUGGGUAGAACAACAACAACCGACUUACAUCUACUCGGCUCAUUGGACCAUGUUCUUCGAUGGGUCCAAGAUGUUGAAUGGCUCCGGCGCCGGCGUAGUGCUCAUAUCCCCGAAAGGUGAUAAACUCAAGUAUGUGUUGCAGAUCCAUUUUGAUUCUUCCAACAACGAAGUAGAGUAUGAAGCUCUCCUUUACGGGUUGCGCAUGGCCAUCACACUCGGCGUCCGUCGCCUGAUGGUCUAUGGCGACUCAGAUCUAGUAGUUAAUCAAGUAAUGAAGGAGUGGGAUGUAAGGAACCCCACCAUGACUGCAUAGUGCAACGCAAUAAGAAAUCUCAAAAAGAAGUUUGAAGGUAUGGAACUUCACCAUGUUCCCUGACUGAAAAACCAAGCAGCAGAUGAAUUGGCAAAACUUGGAUCCAUGCGGAGACUUGUCCCGAGUGAUGUGUGCCUCGAGCACUUACACCUCCCAUCGGUAAAAGAAGAUCCUUUUAUAGAGGAACCUGUGCAACCGAAGAGCACAACAGAUUAGACUGAAGUCGAGGUUCCCGCUGUGGUUGACCUGGUCAUGGAGAUUCUAGCUGUCAUUCCCGAAUGGACCGUGCCAUUCAUUGCGUACAUCCUGAGGCAAGAGUUACCGGAAGACGAAGUCCAAGCUAGGCAGAUCGUUCGCAGGUCGAAGUCCUUCACCGUCAUUGAUGACCAGUUAUACAGGGAAAGUGUUUCAGGCGUCCUUCAGCGGUGUAUCUCUCCUGAGGAGGGGCAGUUAAUUUUGAAAGAAAUUCACUCAGGAACCUGCGGCCAUCAUGCCUCCUCAAGGGCAAUCGUCGCCAAAGCAUUCAGAGUUGGUUUCUUCUGGUUGCAGGUGAAUGAAAUGGCAAAAUAUAUAGUCGACCGUUGCGAAGGUUGUGAGUUCUAUUCAAACAAGUCCCACAAGCCAACGUCCGCGUUGAAGACAAUUCCCCUUUCUUGGCCAUUCGCCGUGUGGGGAUUAGAUACAGUCGGACCAUUCAGAACAGGACAAGGAGGAUUCACCCAUCUGCUGGUAGCAGUCGACAAAUUUACCAAGUGGAUUGAAGCCAAGCCAAUCAAUAAGCUUGAUGCCCUUACGGCCAUCAAAUUUAUCAGAGACAUCAUUGCCAGAUACGGGGUUCCACACAGCAUAAUCACCGACAAUGGCACAAACUUUGACUCGGAUAGGUUCAAAGGUUUUUGUGCAGACCAAGGUAUCCGAGUGGAUUUUGCAUCCGUUGCGCACCCCCAAACAAAUGGACCAGCGGAGCGGGCGAAUGGACUCAUUCUUCAAGGGUUGAAGCCUCGACUCCUGCGGGAAGUUGGACAUGCCGCCGGCACAUGGGUCACCGAGCUGCCUUCGGUGCUGUGGGGCCUCCGAACAACUCCGAAUAGGUCGACAAGACGAUCCCCGUUUUUCCUCGUUUAUGGGGCAGAGGCAGUCCUUCCGAGUGACUUGCUCCACAACUCUCCACGAGUCGAACUCUUCUCCGAAGCCGAAGCAGAGCAAGCCAGGCAAGACGGAGUAGACCUUUUAGAAGAGGAGCGCGAGAUGGCAUUGAUCCGUUCAACAAUUUAUCAGCAAGAUCUGCGGCGAUUUCAUGCGCGGCACAUUAGGAGCCGCACGUUCCAAGCAGGCGACCUGGUGCUCCGAGUGGAUCAACAAAGACCACACAAGUUGGCUCCCGCCUGGGAAGGACCGUUCAUCAUUUCUGAGGUGCUGAACAACGGAGCAUAUCGACUCUACAACCUCGACAGAGAGACGGACGAGCCGCGAGCAUGGAAUGGAGAUCUAUUGAAGCGCUUCUACACAUAACCACCGACAGAGACAAUGUAAAGAACAAAUGUCAUCGAAGUAAUACAAAGCGGACUAAUUUCUUGCCGAUUCAAAAUUAUUCCUCGUUUGCAGACUUCGGUCUAAAAAAUUAAUUCCGAGUGUGCACCAAAAUUCAGACUCGGAGACUUAGGUGCGACCCAGAGUCGCCUAAGUAAAAACUCGCUCCGAGUGUGCACCGAAAAUAACACUCGGAGACUUAGCUGCGACCCAGAGUCGCCUAAGUAAAAACUCGCUCCGAGUGUGCACCAAAAGUCACACUCGGGGACUUAGCUGCGACCCAAAGUCGCCUAAGUAAAAACUCGCUCCGAUUGUGCACCAAAAGUCGCACUCGGAGACUUAGCUGUGACCCAGAGUCGCCUAAGUAAAAACUCGCUCCGAGUGUGCACCAAAAGUCACACUCGGAGACUUAGAUGCGACCCAGAGUCGCCUAAGUAAAAACUUGCUCUAAGUGUGCACCAAAAGUCACACUCGGAGACUUAGUUGCGACCCAGAAUCGCCUAAGUAAAAACUCGCUCCGAGUGUGCACGAAAAGUCACACUCGGGGACUUAGCUGCGAACCAGAGUCGCCUAAGUAAAGAGCUUCCUCCGAGUGGGCACUCGAGUUCCACUCAGAGGCUUAGCUGAGUCGCCUAAACAAAAACCACGAGCCAAAACCGUGUCAGAAAAAACUCAGCGAAAGAAGAGCAAAAGAUCCGGUUCGAAUUCAAAUUGAGUUCUACGAUCAGUCGACUCGGUGUGAAUCAAGUUUAUCCACACUGAGACACGAAUGUACCGGCCAACAACAGUGGCCAAAGUUUAAUACAAACUCCACUCGGCAUACCGAGGUAAAUGCGCGUUCAGCAUAAAGUCAAUCAAGCAUCGCCGGGGCUGGUAGGCUCCACGAAGGUGUCGAGGUCGAUUCCAUCUGCAAUCCGAGUGGCCUUGUCGAGGAAGGUCUCCAUGAAGUUUUCAAAUCGAAGCUUCUUGGUGUUGGCGACCUGCAACGUCUUCAGCUUGUCUUCACGGGCUUCCUUACAAUGCACUCAGACCAGAGACAGCGCCACAUCCGUGCCACACCGAGCGGCAGACUUCUUCCCUGCCAGCACUCUGCUUGGAACAUCCUCCAGUCGAGUCAUCAACCUCUCUAUCUCAUUCCGGGAGUCAUCUUCAGGCCACAACUCUUUGACAAUUUGGCCGACAACUCCUCUCAGGCGACCAAUGAAAGGACCCACAUUGUUAAGGCGGGAAUUCAGUCGGAACAUGUCCCGGUUAGCUUCAUCACCGAGUGGAACAUUCGGUUGCCCAAGCGACCGUUCAAUUUCGGCAGUUUCGGCUUCAACGUCCCGACAGAAAUCUGCAAAGAAAAGACAGGGAGAAAAUAAGCGUGGAGUGAACUCCAAAGUCAAAAGAGCACUCGGCAAGCAACUUACCACCAAGCAGUGCGACCAUCUUCUUCACCCAGUCGCCGACGUAGUUCUCCUGUGCUUUGCACCGAGCGUUCAUUAACUUCAGCUGGUCCAUCCAUCUAGAUCUCUCCUUCUUCAUUUUUUCUACCCCGGCUAGCAGUGCCUUGUUAGUCCCCCGAGAUUCCUCCAAAGAUACUUCUAGUUCACCGAGAGCCUUCUUCAUGCCAGCCAGAUCAUUCGCAGCUACCUCCAAGUCGGCAGCAAGUUGAGUCUUCUCAGCCUUCAGAGCAUUAUAGGCCGAUCCCAUUUCACAAGUCUUCUGUCAAAGAGACACAAAGGGAGGAUCAGCCAGGUUCAACAAGGAAGAAGUCUCGACAGAUUCUUCAGACCCCUGCCGAUGCAAGCAAUCGACAGUGGUCUCGGGGACUACACCCAGUGGGUUCACUGAGAGUGACCCCACUGGUAUGAAGCUCGAACAGGUCGGUCCCAUUGAGCUUCAUAGCAAACCAACAACACUAUGAGAUAACAUUACUCUCGGAGACUACACCCAGUGGAUGCACUCGGCGUGCCCCCACUGGUACCAUUCGGGCAGAUCAGCUCUGAUCUGUAGAGAUUAUGGAAAAUACAUAUAAAGACAACUACCGGUGCAAGCACUCGGCAGAAGUCUCGGGGACUACACCCACUGGGUUCAUUCGGAGUGAACCCACUGGAAAAUUAACCUACUGUAUCCGAGUGUCUCGCCAAAACCCCCAGUGGGCACCAAGAGGAAUGUAAACACUUACUAGUGCACUUACUCGGAUAUUAUCCCGAAGCUCCAAGAUCUUCUUGUAUAGGGACGCAACAGAGUCAUAUGCUCCUUUGGCUUCGCCCACCAUCAGCUCCACUUGUACCAUGGCGUCCUUGGCGGCUCCUACUUGAUCUUCUGGGAGGCGUCGGGCAUCGUAUUGAACAGUCGACGGACCCGGCGUGGCAGAAGGCACCCCAGGUAUCCCGAGCUCCUUGGGCAUCCCGAGCUCUGCUCCAGUCGGUUCCGCCAUGAAGACCAUCGUCUCAGUCGGCGGCACGCUCAUGGCGGGGUUGGCAGUAGGUUGGAUAACCCCAAGGACAGGUGCCAAAGCUAGUUCCGACAUCCUUUGGUCGUCGUUGUCCAGAUGGAUCACCUCCGAAGGAAGCCCGACUGAACAAAAUAAAAAUACAGAAAAAGAUCAAGAUCAAAGACAACACUCGGGAAACGGUAAUACAGCUCUCGGAGUCAUGACAACGUACCUUGCUGGGACGUGGCGGUGUUAUCAGUGUCCAUGGGAUCGUCACCCUGAUGCGGCAGAGAGGUGGCGGAGGUAGCAGCUCUAUUGAGUGAAAUCCAUUCGACGGGUAAACAUGAAUUCCCAAAAAGAAGAGUCCAAUCGGAUACUGAAGGAAGUUGGAAGAGCAAAGAUACUUACGCUGAGGCGACCGGAACAGCGAUCCUCAUCCGGGACAAAGCUUUCCGAGGUUUAGACCCGCUGGGUUUAGCCACCUUGGACGGCUGAUCCACGGGCUCGGCAGAAGAACCCAUGGUUCUCUUCACACUCCGAGCACUCGGGGCCACGGGAGGAGCCGACGGAAUAGCGGGGUCAUGACGGUGCUUGGUUCGGUGUUCUGGUGGUGAGGGUGACGAGCUCUGCUCUUCACUCUCCUCCUCCUCCUCUUCUGUUUCCUCCUCCGUCUCCCUACUGUCAGAGACGUACUCGGCACUACCCGCGCUACCCUCCAUGCUGCCUUCUUCUUCCUCGACCGGAUUCCCAUUUGAGCCUGCAGAAUGCCAGUUCGUCCACUCCUGCACAAAACACAAUCGGCAACGUCAGUCUACGAGACAAGAAAAGCAAUAAAACUGAGAAGGUUAAAAGCACUCGACAACAUGUACUCGCCUCAUUCGGAGGAGGAUUUUGGGCGCGGAAGGCCCUCACCCGCCGAGCUCCCACAGGGUUGUCACAUGUGCCCGUGAUGCUGCGGACCCACGCACUCACGGUCUCCUCGCUCACGUCUUCGGGAUGGGACCGAGUGGUAUCCGAAGGCCCCGUGUAAUGCCACAUUGCGUGGUCUCGGGCUUGGAGCGGCUGGAUGCCUCGACCCAGAAAAGUCUCCAACAGGUCCGUGCCGGUGACUCCCUUCCGGACGACGGCUAUCAGCGCGUCGAUCAAAGGCUGGAUCUGGGUUCUUUCUCCCUUAGAGAGCGCUAGCUUCCUAGGAGGGCCCGGACGGUCUAAACUGAAGGGUGGUAACCCACUCGAAGCAUUCGGGCAGGCAAUGUCCUGGCAAUAGAACAGGACGAUUGUCAGUUCCUAACCGACUCGGAUAGCUGAAGGGAGGGAUAACUACUUUUCGUUUUCUUCUGAAAUCCUAAACCCCCGCAGAGCUGGAGGAUGUGUGUCUUAUCAUCAUGCUGGCUAAGCUUCUUAACAGUUCGAGAUCUAGCGAAGAAAACAUAUUUGAAGAGCCCCUAGUGGGGAGGACAUCCUAUGAAGCACUCGCAGAGGGUGAUGAAUGCGGAAAGGUGAGCUAUCGCAUUCGGCGGAAAGUGAUGGAGCUGCGCCCUCAAGUAAUUCAUGAUACCUCGGAAGAAAGGAUGGGGAGGCAGGGAGAAACCUCUGGCCACGUGGCUGAGCAGCAGAACGCGCUCCCCCUCCUUCGGCGCCGGCUCCAUCUCACCUUCCGGCAACCUCCAAGAUUUGUUGACGACCAUGCCGUGCUCCACCAGCUCCAGCAUGUCGUUCUCCCUCACCGUGGAGGGGAGGAAGUCCCCCUGGAUCCAGCCCGCCGGCAACGCCCGCUAACGCCGCUGAGUGGAGGCCGCCCCCUUCUUCUUCUUCUUCGCCUCGAGCUUGCUGGUCUGCCCCUUCGUAAUGGCGAGGGCGACGGAUCCGUAGAGGAGGAGGGGAAGGAGGUGGCUUGAGGUGUGCAGGGAGUUGCGGGGGGANGGGGGGAGGGGGGAGAUCAAUGGGAGGAGGACGAGCAGGCAACAGGAAGGUCUGUCGGGAAGGCUUUAAUAGGCCUCCGACUGAGUCACCUACAGGUGGGCCCAAGAUCUUAUCCUCCCAACCGGCUGCUGCAAGAUUAGUGGAGAAGAUCGCGUCGUGGUAAUCGAGGAGGCGAAAUCUACUCGAUGGCGAUGUCGUCAUCCCCGGUGAGCGCGCGGCAACCGAAAUUUGAGGAUCUCGGAAAAUCCGGCGCUCUUAGUAUGACCGGUCACGUCGAAAGAUUCCGCGGAAGCAAACGGUCCCUCACGGUUCGUUUCGCUUGCAUAUUCACUCGGAUCACUUGCCGCAAAGCUAAAAUGGAUCGAGGCAGACAACGCAAAGAUCACCUCAAUACCAGUCGGUUCCAAACUCCGGACAUCACUUCAUCGUUCCAACCCCGAUCCAUUCGUGGACUAAUGAUGGGGUUAUAGUCCGAGGGUNNNNNNNNNNNNNNNNNNNNNNNNNNNNNNNNNNNNNNNNNNNNNNNNNNNNNNNNNNNNNNNNNNNNNNNNNNNNNNNNNNNNNNNNNNNNNNNNNNNNNNNNNNNNNNNNNNNNNNNNNNNNNNNNNNNNNNNNNNNNNNNNNNNNNNNNNNNNNNNNNNNNNNNNNNNNNNNNNNNNNNNNNNNNNNNNNNNNNNNNNUACCCUUCAUAGAGGGCAAGACCCUUAGACAGUUCCGACUGAACUAAGGACGCCCCAUCAUCCAGUCGGCGACGAUCCACUCGGAGCAUAUCUAACGUACCGACUGGAAUCCACUCUGUAACGUCGUAACCUCCGAGGAGGGCAACAUUCAUACGUUUUCAUACACCAUAACUAGCAUUUAAGGGUUACGUUACCAGUAACGCCGGUGUUUACUCGCCACUACUCCACCCCUGUCCACCGGACCAUUAUGAAGGGCAGUACACUCUAUAUAAGCCGCCCUUCACCACUGAUACAGGGGUUGGCACUUAAUGUAAUCCCUUUAUUCACUCGACACAAAGCUCCCACGAGCACUGAGACGUAGGGCUUUUACCUCCACCAUAGAGGGGCCUGAACUCAUACAUCCUCGCCGUAGCUAAGGCUGUGCCCAUAUACUUUCGUACCCCGUACUUCUACUGUCAGACUUAUACCCACGACACGUAUCUAAGGUUACCUUCAUAUUCAUUUAAAAAAAGGUUACCUUCAUAUUAAAAAUGAAUUAUUUCUAUUAGAAAUAAUUUGUAAAGUGCUUUGGUUAUUUUGUAGCCCAAAAUACUUUGAUACUCUGUCACAACAAGGAAAAUCUAGUCCCACCUUUUUUAGGAAAAUCUCAAAAAACCAAUCUUUGAUCAAUCAGGGACUCUCCUUAGAACUCGAUCGAUCAUGAUAUUGUCGUUUGGUGAUGGACUAUUGAUUACACAUAAGGGAACAUACCGUAAUAUCUUUUCCUAAUAAUAAAGUAGCUACUCCUUCUGUAGUCCGUUGUUGCUGUUUUGCAGAAAGGCCCCUGUAGUUUCCUUUAAUUAAACUGUAGUCCGUUUAUAAGUGAGACCGAAACGUUUUUUCCACAUUUUACACAAGACCCCCUUACUUUCAUGCUAAAUAACCCGCGGUCCAAGUUGUAGUCACAGUGAAUCGUUUUUUUUAAUUUUACGUAAACCCUUCAUAUAUGCGUUAAUUACCCCAAGUCCAUUUAGAAUAGAUAUGUAUUUCAAAUAACAGUAUCUUUUAAACCGUAAAUCCAAUUUAAACAUGUUAUAUAUUAAACUUGAUUAGAAAAAUGUGUAGAGUUCGAAUAUGUUGUUAUUUUACAUGUUAAAUAUUUUUAAAAUACUAUAUAGGAUACAAUGCUAAUCAAUAUUUGUCUUUAUUUCGUACCGAUUAUCUGUAUUGUAACAUCUAAACUUAAGCAUCAAUAUUUGUGAAAUGUUAUAAUCUUUGGGCAUGGUGUACUUGCACUAGGUUCUUUCUUUGUACAUAUUUUAUAAUCUACGAUCUUACAUACGUGCCUUUUUUUUACAAUAUUCACGUGCGUUUUGAUCAAUGGACUACACUUUUUUUUAGUGAAUAUACAAACAUUUUUUAUAGGUUAUACAUGCACUUAUAAAAUUGAUGAACAUCAAAAGUACAUGGAGGUUUAUUUUAAAAACAUCUGAACUAAUCAUCGGAUAGUAAUUGACUGUUAAUAGUGAAUUUUUUGUUUGAGGAUAAGAGUUGAAUUCAUAAGUACAAUCUUAAUUUGUUUUCAUCUAUUGUAUGUGAUGGAUAUACAUAUAGAUUUUUUUAAUAGACUUAAUUUAUAAACACGGCCUCCUCAAUAUCGAACAACAGCACGUCGAUGAUACCUGAGUGUGGUCAUAAGUGCACACCAUCAAUAAUCAAAAUUGGAUCAAAAUGAUACAUCUCAGGUAAGAAAUCUUACUAUCCAUUGUAACGCACGGUCGUUUUGCUAGUCAAAUAUAAAAGGACCAACUGCCUUCUUAGAUGAAUCAUCAGAUUUUUAUUCGUAAUUUUGCUCAUCUUUGAGGAUUACCAGGCGCCGUAAAAUUGCUCUGAAUGAAACAUUGAAGUUCACGCAAGAAAAGCUGCGCAUGGUGCACCUCCAGUUCAUCAUCAACCGAGUGCGUUCGCGCCUGGAAAGAUGGAAGAGCAAGCUCCUAAAUUUGGCCGGUCGUGGGGUGCUCGUGCAGUCAGUUCUCACUGCUCUGCCCACCUUUGCUCUCACGGUGCUCAAGGUGCCCAAGAAAAUUCUGAAAGAGGUGGACAAGGAUUUCCUAUAGGCUCAGGACUGGUGCUUGUUAGGUUGAUCUGUACCAUGUGGACCCAACGGGUCCACACGGCCCACCGGACUCCUAGUCCACAUAGGGCGCCCAACUUAUUAUGGUUGGUAGGCCCCUAUGAACCGUGCUAUACUAAUAGAGGUGGGGGUCGGGGCACGAAUGACGAAGUUCACCACCGUCACAAACCCCACCGACACUCCCCUCCGAUCUAGGAUUAGCGCGGUGCUCACGGAAAGCACCACCACCACCUCUUCAUCUCUCUGUCAUCACCACCGUCACCAUCUCACCAUGGCCAACGGCGGGAGCACCUCAAGUGCAGCAGAAGGUAAUACCUAUCACUAUUGUGGAGGACACAUAUCCGGCNN